AAGAAAUUAGCUUUCUUUUAAAGAAAUUAUAUUAGCUUUAAAAACUUUAUACAACAUUCCUAUUUAUAAGGAAGAUAAUCGUUUAAUAGGAUACAAAAUAAAUAUUCUAUCGAUUAAACCAAUCAUAAUCAAUUUUGUAAAGUAUUUAUUCAAAUCUAAAAAUUCUAAGCUUAACUAACCAAAUAUGAGAUAUUUUAAAAAUUGUCAGAAUCGGUAAUUUAUUGUAUAUAUUCUAUUAAAAUUGAAGUACAAAAUAAUAUUUAUAUAUUUGUAAUUGAUUUUUUCAAUCUUCUUCCUUCAUUUUAACUAAUUUAAACCAAUUUAUUUAUUGUAUUUUCCAAAUAAUUCUACUUCAUUUAUAUUUAUUAUAGAGUACAAAAUAGAACUUACAUACUCUUAAGUGUUUUUAUUACAUCUUUUGCAACUCUUCUUUGUCACUCUUCCUAAUUACUUCAUCAACUAUAUUAAGCAUAAUAAUUUGACAACACUUAUUUUAAUUUUUACCAAAAUAAUUUCACAAGUUUGAAUGAAAUUGAUUAAUUCAUGACAAGAAUUCAAUCGAUUAAUAAUUUUUUUAUUUGUAUAAAGAAUCAGUUAGACAUGAGCAUUCAGGUAACUGUUCGGGUACAGAUCGGUUUUUGAGUAUCAGAUUUUAGGGUUUAAAAUUAAAUUUUGUUUGGAUAUUAUAAAUUUUUGGACGAAGUUCGGAAUCGGAUCAUUUUGGAUUAUGAUAGACUUGUAAGGACCUAAAAAUAUCUAAAUAACCUAUGUAUUUAUAAUGUCAUUAUAUAAUUUAUAAAAAAGUAAAAACUUAACAUCAACACAGACGUGCAGGUCAAGCUCUAGUUUUGUUUUAAUUAAAAAAAGACAAUACCUAGGUUAAGGUGUAGUUUUGUUUUAAUUAAAAAAAGACAAUACCUAGGUUAAGGUGUUUGGGUAUUUGUGUAAAUCUUUGUGAAAUGAUUAUUAAACAUGUACCUGAUUUAAUACCCAAAAUAUAUCAAAGUAUUAAUAAUUUUCAAAUAGAAGUUAAAAAUAUCUAAAAUUCUUAGAAAAAUCUUAAAAUUUUAAUUUAAUUUUAAUUUAAUUUUAAAUUUUAGAAAAAGUAAGUAAAGUGUGAUAAUCUUAAAUUGUGUAAUAAAAGUUUAUUGUAAAAUUUUAGUUUGAAAAUGUAUAGAUUGAUAGAUAUGAACUUAAUAUAUUUUUCAAUACAUAAAUUUAUAUGAAAACAAUGAUCGUAUUUAUUUUAUAAAACAAUAAUAAUUAUUAAACAUAAAAGUUGGGUUAGAGAAUUUAUAUCAAAAUGGACUAAUAACUGAAUUUUUUUGGUUAACUACUAAUUGAAUUCUAAAAAGAUCAAAAAGUCAUUCUUAAUAUUUUGGGCCAAGAAAAUUAAAAAGACUGCCAUUUGUUAUUAUUCUGUUAGGUUUUUAAACUCUCUAGGAAGAUAAAGAUUAAUCGUUUAUGUUUUUUGUUAGCAUAAGUUUAGGAAAUAUUUUGGUUGUUUUAGUUAAUAUUAUUAGCAUGCCAAUCGUUUGUCACAUUCCCUUUAUUCAUGAAUAUAUUCUAAAUUUUAAUAAUACGGAAUUUGUUAAUUCUAAAUUUUAAUACAUCUACUCUACUAAUUAAUACAUCUGCAAUAUUUCGUAUAUAUAUACUUCAAUGUUUUAUAACAUGUGUCAAUGAUAAAUAUGGAUGGAUUCUAUCAUCCACAUAUAUAUUGUCCAUUACUGAAAAAUGCAUGAUGAUGAUGUAUGCAGGGCCGUCUCAAACUUUACGGAGACCCUGUUCAAAAAAAAAUAAGACCCUUUAUAAUAAUCUAAAAUAAUUUAUGUUUUUUCUGACAGAAUAUUGUAAUAUAUAAUAAAUACACCAAUCUAAUUUAAUUGGAAGAAGCAUUUUUUUCUUUUAUAAUUGAAAACUUAUGAAAAGCAUCUUUUCGGGACUAUGAAUUUUUCAGUUUUUUUUUCUUUUGAUUCUUUUUGUAUCUACAGUUAAGAGUUAUAAUCUAUAAAAAAACACAAACAAAACAAUAGAAUCUUGAUAGUGGUUAGAAAAAAAACCGUGGACUCUUGAUUUGAUUAAACAAGAAAUUGGAGACUCCUCAGUUUUAUUCUUUGAUAGAUGCUUAGACUAAUGUUUCUUUUUUGUGUUUACUAUUUUUUGUAAAAGUUGCUGAAAAAUUAUAUAUUUCCCUCUUUAUUUACAAUCACUAAUUAAUAUAGUUUCCUAAAUAUAAUCAAAUUAGAAUAUUAACUUUCUAAAUUUACAUUGAAUAAUAAAUCAAACACCAACAGCUAUUUUUUACUUUCCAAAAUAUAUAAUUGAUAUAAUGUUAAUUUCUUCCUGACUUAUUGCAUUUUUGUUGGUUAUGUAAACAAAAUCAAAUUUGUAAUUUACAUAUAUUGUUUAAUAAAUAUGAAAAUUAAAUUAAAUAUAGUUAUCUGAUUUUUAAUAAAUACAUGAUUUUAAAUUUAUAGCUAUUACUAAAAAAAAAUUAUGAGUCCUCUAAAAUUUUGGACCAUGUUCGACCGCUCCACUUGCACGUGCUAAAAGACGGCCCUGGAUGUAUGUGUAGAUUUGUUUUAUUAGUGUAUUGUAAAGAAUAAUAAAUAAGAGUCCAAGAUUCAAAUGCAAAAGUAAUUGACAUAAUUUUAUUUGGACAGUCGAAGAUUCAAAUACAAAGUUAGAGUUAUGAAUAAUCCAAACUCGUAUUAAUGUUUUCACGUAGGAGAAGUAUUGUUAUCAUUGUAUAACCGUGAAUAGACUUUAUUUGUAGAAGGAGAGUUAUAAUGUACUAGAUACGGACCUUUUUUGAUGUUUUAACUUUACGAAAAACAUAAAAAGAAUGAAAAUAUUUUUCACAUUAGUUUUUAAAUUUUUUUAGUAUAUAUUGGUGUAAGACUUAUUUUAGUAUAAUAAUCAAUUUUCUUACAUAAAUUGUGAUUAGUAUUACUACUUCAGUAAUGGUGUUUUAAAAUAGUCUAUUAAUUUUUUUAUUUUUCUAUAAAUAGUUCACUUUAAAUUAUUUUUAAUAUUAUAGUUAAUUAAAACAUAUAGAAUUGAUGUAAACUAUCUAUAUUAUUUAUAUUGUGUAAGAAAAUUCAAAAAAAAUCAAAAUUAAUGUUAGACGAUACUAAUACUCUCAAAAUUUUGCACAUGAUAUGCUAUCAAUAAAAAGGCCUCACUCAAGCAAAAUAAUGUUGGCUUCAAAUAAUGGUGAGGGUUAAAGGGUAUGAGAGUGCUAUUUGGGUAAACAAAGAUAUAGGUCGCUGCAAAGACCCCCUCUGGUGCUCUUUCUCGCCCAAAUGAUCACUUUCCUACUCCUUUUUUUUUUAUCCCAAAUGCCUCCAAAUACUUCGAAGAACUCCAAUGGAUACUCCCACACCUAAUAAAAACUUAUGCAAUGCAAAAGGGACCUAAAAAAUGCCUCAAUUCUAUUCUAAAUGAUCAAAAUGUAUAGGAAUGAAUGAUCAAAACAAUGUAAAUAUGCAAGAUAUUAGACACCAAUCAAUAUGCAUUAUUGAUAUUCAGCUAAAUAUCAAAUAUAUUGCUUGAUAACCAUCAAAUUUGUUUCCCGCUAUACCCUACCUUAGCAUCAAUAGUGUGACUAUAACCUCUUUCUAUAUAUCAUAUAUUUCUGAAUUUUUUUUGAUAUACAAUAUUUUGUAGAACACUAUUGUCGAUAUGUUUUGUGUCUACUUUAAAAAUUCUGAAUUCAUGCAGUUGUUGUGACUCUUUGAUAGUGAAGUGUACAAUUGUCCAUGAGAGAUCAUCUUGCAUCUGUUGAUGUGAGACUUGUUUUAGGAAUAAGAAUCUGUUGAUUAUUGAUCUCGGUUAGGAUUUUUCUGCUUCAGUAAUCAUGUUGUCUAGGCUAGUUAUUAGUUAAAUUUUUACAUUGCAAAUUUCUUUUCGAUGAUUUAAAUUCCUUAAUAACAUGACUGAAACAUCUAUUUUGAGAUCAAGUUCGUGAUUUGGAAUCCCUGAAAAAAUUAACAUAUUUAAAAAUCUGUGGGAUAUAGAAUAUGCUGAUUUAUAACUUCUUCUUUGUUGUUACCAAUACUAUCAGAACUCAAAUGUUCCUUUUGCUCACCGUCUAAGCACUUUAACAUAUAGUUAUCUAUUUUACCAACCCUUUCAUUCCUUAUUCUUUGGUGUAAGCAUUGCUUUUUUGAUGAGAUAAUUCUUGUCUUCAAAAGUAAAUUUGGAAAUCUUGAUAUAUAGACAUUGUAAUGCAUUCAAAAGGAGCUGCAUUCUUUUGCAAGAGCAAUUUGUUGUCUAUCAAAGAAGGUAAAUCAUGUGAACAUCAGUUUAGAUGUGAAAGGACAUGCAGAAAAUCUCACCUAAAUAGAAAAGUCGAUUAUUCAUAAUAAAUUAACAUUAACUUAACUACAACAAUAUAACGAAUUUAUAUUGUCGAUAAGAACAAACACAUAUAAGCAUAAUAGUCACAUUAACUUUUGUACAGCAGAAUAACUGCAUAACAUCUAUUUGACUAUAUGUACAAACGCCAAAGUGUAAUUGUGGCAAUAACUAACGUACAUCAUCAUUACAAUUAUGACAAAAAAAUCAACAUCAGUUUAAGAAGAAAAAAAAACAUGUGAAGAUCAGGAAACCUAGUUAUUUCAAUCAUAUGUUACAAUGCUAAAAAAAAAAUCAUCCUUUGUCGUUCACAUGGAUGCAGAGUUACCGAUCUGGUUUACAGAGUCAACAUGAGUUUGUAAAUUCUUUGCUGUCAAAAAAAAAUCAUAGUUUACAAUUAUUUUUUCUUUAGGAUUUUAGAAAAGGGAAAUUAAUAUUAAAUAAAUUAUUUUAUAAAUAUUUUUUUGUUUAGGAUUAACAAAAAGGAAAAUUUCUAGAAACAGCUACUAUUAAAUAAUUUUUGAAAUUAAUACUUACUAUUAAAUCAUUUUUAAAAUUCGUUUUUAUUAUCUUAGCAUAUAUAUAUUUAAUCAUGAGAGAUUUUAACACAUGUCGAUAUAUUAAAAGGAAACCCACUAUCACAUAAUUAUCUGCUUAAGAUUUUUAAAAAGAAAAAAUAUUAUUAAAUAAUAUUUACAUUUACUUUUUUACAAAUUUUUUUUUUUGUUAUUAUCUAAUUAUAUAUAUUUUUAAUUAGGAGAUAGUUUAACACAUAUCAUAAUUUUGAAUAUAUAUUUGCUACAUGUCACAAUCGUGUUAAUUAACAACUUUGAAAACCAAACUUUAUAUAAUAAGAUAACCAAAAUAUAAGGAAUGAUAAUUAUCUCUUAUUUCUCACGUUAGGUCCAAAUUUAAAUAAUAACUAAAUAAAAAGUAUGAUUCUAAAUUAAUAGAUUAGAUUAAGUGGAUGAAGUUGAAUGGGAAAAGAUCUGACUGUUUGCUCCAAGAAGGAAUGUAUGUACAUUCAUUUAACACACAAUAACUGCAAAUAGAGAUCAUAACAUUGAUAUGUUCCAUUUGUUGUUCAUUCAUCGAACAGGCUUUGUGUCGAAGCUGCUUAAACAAAUGGCAAAAGCUUGGAAUGCGGAGAUCGGGUAACGAUAAUCCAUGGUGAAUGUAUCUUUCCCUAUCUUCCCAAACUGCAGUAUCACUCUCUCUUGUUCCUCUUCAGGGAUGUUCAUGUCCUUCCCUGCUUCUGCAGCAGCAGCCAUUAGCUGGAAGUUUUUCACGGAGGCAACCGUGACUCGUCCUUUGAAGUUAAGACACCAGCACUGAAGCUGCUCGUGCCAUCUGGGCAACUUGUUUUUCAGGACUAAUGGUUCCUUCACGACGGAUUCUCCUCCCAAGUUCCCUGACCAGAAAUCAAUCAGCCCUCUCUUCUUCUUGCUUCCUAGGUUUGACAACUCGGUCGGAGUAUGAAUCUGUCCCCCUUCUUGAAUAGAAGAAACUGGGAUAGUGUUCAUGAUACAUUGCAUUCUUCUUGGACCUCUGGUUCUAAGGACAUUCAGCUCAUACAAGAUCGAAGCCAUGCUGUAACUGUGAGUAGAUGAAGUUACCCAUGGAGACACACGCAUCGUCUGUGAUAGUUUCUUGUUAAAUGAUCUUCGGGAAUCAACCGGAGAAGGUUGGUUUUCGUAAACCGUGAACUUAGUUCCAAGGAAAUUCGAUCUAUCCACCCAACAACAAGAAGGAAAGUUAUAAAUGUCAUGGCGAUAUUAAACGAUCAAAGAUGACAAAUAAGGUACCUUAGUUUCCCAAUAUAGUUACUGCUACUUCUUGAGAAGUCCUUUCCAGACAAAGAUACAAUAAACUCAACACCAGUCGCCCUCCUUACCCUCUUAGCCGAUAGCAAGAGCUUACUCUUGUCCCCGGUAAGCGCUGAAACCAUACAGACAUUAAGAUGACAACACAUAGUCCCAAGACUCACAAGAAGUAAGAGAAGUUAAAACUACCAGGGCUUAAACCAAGAUAGAGACGGUAUAUCCCAGUGGCUCUCUCCCGUUUGAUAAAGCAUUGAAUCGGAUCAUCUCUAGGGCCAGGCUGAGACAAGAACCCCCAAUGUCUUUUAGCUCAUCACUUCCAACGAUUACAAGAACGUUCUAGAAAGAGUAUAAACCUGUUUUAAUGAAACUGGAAAAGUGAGGAGACCAGAGAUCUCAGGAACCUUAACAACUUCUUUAGUCAUCUCCCUCCAGGCCUUACAAACCGAGGCGCAAGCAACAACGUCUCUCCUCCCCGGCCAUGAGGUCUGACCAGACUCGAUUCGAUGGAUGAUGUCAAGAAGCAGCUCCGGAGGCAAAUCAACCCAAACGCUCUGAUAUAAACAAUCAUCAGCAGCUGAUGGAGAAGGAGAAGAUCCUUCUGGAGCAAUGUGAGACCUUCCUCGUCUACCAUUGGCUUUGUUGUUACGACCCCUAAGCUCGCGUACUAUGUUCUUCAACGGCAUUUCUACAAUUCAACUUCUCCUACGGACCCCCAAAUCGAUCAAACGAAGCAAAAAAAAAAACCCUAAUUUGUACCUUCAACAAACGAACAAAGAUUAAAUCAUGAAAAGGGCAUUAUCGUGUAAUGAAAACGAGAGAGAGAGAGAGGGGAUGUAUGUACCUAGAGAAGCGACAAAUCCAUGGGGAAUCACGACGAUCGGGGUGAAUUCCGAUUAAGAAAGUCUCGAAUUGAGAAAUUUUAAAACGCUCCUUGAAAGUAAAUAGAGCCGCCACCACCACAACUCCUCCGAUGUUGUUAACCGUCGCCGUCGUUAGGUUUGAAUCCCGACGACGACAAUGAUUUCGAGGAGAAGGGAGAGAGAAAGAGGAGACGGGAAAGUUUCCGUUUUCUUUUUUAUUUAUUUAUUUAAUUAAUAAGAGUAGGCGCGGCCCCAUCUCUCCCUCCUUUCAAUUGAAAUUAGUAAAUUACUCAAAAUAGGUUUUUAUCUCUUUUUUUUAUUUUAUUCUCUUCCAUUUUGGUCAAAUUACUUUCUCACAAGUUUUUGUUUAAGUUAUUAACAUAAAAAGAAACUUUCUGUCUUUUUAUUACACCAUUAGACAGAUUUCACUACUGAGAUAGUUUGUGGAAGUAAAAUGACAACACUAACCCUAACAACACUCACCUUUUGUAGAUUGUGAAAAGCACACUAUCUCUUUUAUUCUUCUUUUAUUUACAGUCAUACUUUUUUUUAUAAAUAAAAUUGUUUUCUUCUUCUUUAUCUCUUUCAUCAUCUUCUUUUCUCUUUUCCUAUGUCGAUAAAGUGGUUAUGGAUCAAAUUAAACUGAUUUGAAACAAAGAAACAAAAAUCUAAGCGUGCAUACACCUCUCAAGUUCUGAUGGUGGAUUUUCUGAAUCAAAGUCUUAAUUCGUUGGUCUAUCUUAUUCUUCUCCAUCUCUACCUUCAUCCUCCACAAGAAUAACCACCAGAGAAAUAUCAUUAAAACGAGAUGUAGCCAUAAGUACAAAUGAAGGCAAAGAGAAAGUGGCUAAGAAACCCGAUGUAUCUCCACCUCCUGUUCAAUCUCCGUCUCAGCCGUAGAGGAAGCUAGAUGAUGUAAAUCCAGAGAGAUUGGAACUAAGUUGACCGCAGCUUGGCGAGGUAAGAUUACAUUUAAUAUAUUUGUUUUCUCCUGCUUAAUACUGAAUUUCAAUUAUAAAGUUGAUCUCUGAUUCCAAAAGAUGCAGCUUGCUUCCUUUAGAUUUGUUUUUUAUUUAUUUAUAUCAACUCAGCUUAUUAUGUAUUACCUUUGAAACUUAGCUUUAGAUGAUUCACAAAGUAUAUAUGAUUUUUGAAUCUAGUAUUUUGAAAUGACUUACAAAGCUAAUUCAGAUCUGUAUGGAUCCUAGAGAAACAUAAGGUUCUGAUUUUAUGUUAUAUUGUUAUAUGAUGUAUUUGUUUUGUUGGAAAUGUUGGUUUGAACGAUGUGUCUUGAUUGAAUUAUCUAUUAUUCUAUUUUUUUGUUCUUGGACGGACAACUCCAUAAUGUGGACAAGUAUUGGCAUGGAGUCAAAGACAAGAAGCUAUUCAUGUGUACGCCGCGUGUAAGUUGUCAAUGUGUACGCCUUGUGUAAAUUGUCCAUGUGGACAUCUCAGUUGUCCAUGUGGACAUCUCAGUUGUCCAUGUGAACGACAUUUGGUGGGAAUGUCUUGUACUAAGUAAUAUUAUUAUAAUUUUUUUGAUUGUGAAAGCCAUGUAUAAGAAAUAUCAGAUGUUGCAUUGUCCGUACAUAUAUUCUUGAACACUUGUUUGGUACCACAAAUGCCAGCUGUGGCGCAUCGACCAAAAAACGGGUACCCAUUGUGUAUGAGAGAUAUACAACAUUGAAGCUGGCUUAGUAAGAAGAUUUGGUAUGUUUUAGAGGAGAAGCAUUGUCCAAGUAAAAUAAACACUCGCAUUUUUUGUUUGCAAGUGUUUUACAUGUACAUGUACUCGUAGGUGUCCACAUGUACGCAUGCACGUUGAUGUACACAUGUAUACUGAUGUUUAGUCUUCAAGACUUGAUUCAAUCAUAUUUAUUUAUGGUGUAAUAGUUGCAAAUAACUUAAUAAAAUACAAAUCUUUCCAUCUGAUUCAUCCAAUUUUCUUUUGAUAUGGAAAGUUUGGUAUCCAAUUCGAUCUAUGUUGCUAAGAAGGAAAAAAAUUGGAGCUUUUACAUACGUAGUGAGGACUUUUUUUUUUGGACAAACCGUAGUGAGGACUCUCUUUGCUUCAUAUAAGUGAAAAAUUGUAAUGAAAGUUUAAGAAGGAUUAUUAUCAAAGAAUUUAUAUUUAUCUUACGUCUCUUUUUUAAACUGAUGUACACGUGGACAGUCAAACAUUGUGUACACAUGGAUAGUCAAAUAUAUAUUUACACGUCGAUGGUAUUUGUCAGUAUAUAUGUAAAACAUUCAAAUGCUUUCAUAUGUGUGUAUUAGAUUACUAAAUGUUAAUAUUCAUUGCAACGGCAAAUCAUUGUCCAUCUUUUACUCUUUUGUACACAUAAAUGUACAUGUAGAUACUGAGAAUUAUGCGUACAUGUGGAAUACUAUUUUGUAACAGUAUAUAUGUUGAUCAGUGAAAACACAUCAAGAGACGUAAGAUAAAUAUAAAAUAUUUGAUAAUAAUCCUUCUUAAAUUUCAAUUACAACUUUUGACUAUCUAUGUGUACACAAUGUUUGACUGUCUACGUGUACAUCAGUUUAAAAAAUGUACAUGUACACUGAUUACAAACCAAACAAUGAUCUGUGUAAUUCACAAAGACGAAUAUGUGCAUUCAAAAAUUACAAAUCUUUACACCUUUAACGAUGACAACCGGAGUCGUUGUUCAGUUCAAUCAUAACCGCUUCAUUGAAAUUAUAAGGAAGCAGCCAUAUGCACAAACCGAGUUCAUCGAAGUUAUCUAUCCAUCACCAGAACGAUGGUUAAAUCCACAGUGGAAGAUGAGACGAGGAUUCCAAACGUUGAUGUUGAUGAUUCCAUACAAACUUGAUAUCUCAUAAUCAUACCUCACAUUUACCUUCGUCAUCCUUGUCGUCGCCGUCUUCAUCAUCAACUCUGUCAUCCUCUAUUUCCUCAUCUUAUUCUUCUACUGGUUCUAUAUGAGGCCGACUAAGGGUUGUAAAAUCGAACUCCAUCGUCACGUGUUUUUCAUCUUUAUCAUAAUCUUCAUCUUCUUCUCCACAUGAUUUGUUUUACAGAAAAAAAAUUGUACGAGAAAGACAAGAAAAGAAUUUAAGAGAUAAGGAAAGAGAAAGAGAAAGAGAAAAAGAGAUUGAUUUAUGGCCACAUAAUUCUUUUUUUUGGUAUUUUUGUUAGAUUUAAAAGAAAAAUAAUGAGAAAGGGUAAUAAUGAAUUUUCAUACGCUGAAAAGAGGAGAGAAGGUGUUGAAAUGAGAGAAAAAGUGUGUAGGUAGUUGAAACUGUCCUAGAGUGAAAUAAUAAACUCAAAAACUGCCUUCUAGUGUAAAUCUUUCUUUUUGUUUUUGUAUUUUAUUCUUCCAACAAGAAAAUACUUUAAAGCAAAUCUCCUAAGAAAAACACCGAAAACCUUUUUUGACCAAAAAGACGCAAAAGGAAAAUGAUUUUAAAUAAAUUUAUUAAAGAGGUAAAUGACAAGUAUACCAUUACUUUAUAUACGGUAAAACUCUAUAAAUUAAUAAUGUUAAGACAAGGAUAUUUUAUUAAUUUAUAUAAUUAUUAAUAUAAAAUAAAUUUUAUUGUAUUAUUUGGUGUACAUAAAAUAUGUUUCAUAUAAUUGAAGUGUUUUUCAAGAUGUAAUUUUACUAAAUGUUAUCAGAAUAUAUUAAAAAUGUUAAGAAAACAUAGAUAAAUUCUAUUGCUGAUAUAAAAUAAACAAUAUAUUAAUGUGUUUAUUAAUUUACUGAGUAUUAAUUUAUAUAGUUUCUACUGUAUAUAAAUAUAAAUAAAUAAUAAAAUAUUAUUUCCCAAAAGAAAUUUAUUCAAUAUUCAAAAACCUUUUUCAAACACAAAUUUCAAAUUUUCUUCUUUUUUCCAAAUUUUAUAUCGAAAUGUGAAAAUUCUUUAUUGAAAAUUUAAAAUUAUUAUUUAAAAUUUUAAAUCUUAAACUUUAAAUCCUAAACCCUAUCCCCAAACAUUACCCCUAAAUUUAAACCCUAAGUUUAGAUUAUUUAACCAUAAGGGUAAACUUAUCUAUUACUUCUUUAAUAAAAUAUUUGAUUAUUUUGAUCCUUGUAAGCUAUUUUGUGAUUAAAAAAUUAAUGCUAUCAUAUGGUUUAUCUAUUGGCCAUAUUAAAAGAGUAUUUUUAUUAUAAGAAAUUGAGAAAUACUCUAUGAUAAAUAUACAAAACUUUAUCACAAAAAUAGUUCUAAAAGUCAAAAUGAUCAAAAUAUGUUUUAUUAACGAGAUAAAAGAUAUUUUUACUGUUACAGUUAACUAAGUUUUUUAACACUGGUUAGUUAUGCUAUUACAAACUAUGAAAAACAUUACAUAUACGAUAUUACAGCCGACAAUUAUGUUUGUCUUAUGAGGAUUCAUGUCUGACUACAUCACCUAGAGUCGCCCUAUGAGAUCCAUUCCUGAUGGUACUCUUUGCGCCAUGUCGAAGAUCUCUUAUAAGCUUUUUCUCUAAUAUUCUGCAUAAUUUGCCUUCUACAGAAAUUGAAACUCAGAUCUCCUGAUUUAAAAACAUUAAUGAACCUUUAGUUAAACCACUGGUUCAAAGGGGCUUACGGUCAACUAAUCUAGACUAGGUUUUAGUUAGGGAGAUAGGUUUAUAGUGUUUAUAAAUUUAAAAUAAUAAUUUUUUUAAAAAAUAGGAAAAAAGUUAGGAAAAAAAUAAUCAUAGAGAACUGAUGUGUGGCGUCUAGAACGUGCACCUUGAAAACCAGCCCUUCAAAAAAUUUCAAUAAAAUCCAUGAGUCCUUCCUUUGCCUUGCAACAUCUUCUUCCACAGGUCAAUAGUUGAAACUCUUUCCGGAUGAACGUUGAAUAAUGCUUGAGAAACUAGGUUUACACAUCGGGAAAAUGUCGAUGGAAUUCUCUAUGAGCCUUGAGAACCAAGUCAAAGCCGGUCCGUUAAGAAUUUCCACGAACAAUUAAUAGUAUACUGCAUCUUUCUCUUCGACGGUAAAGUGUGCUUGUCCCACGGUUAUAUUGGACAUGGUCAUGUGAUCACUAGGAUCAGAUUCGCCUGAGAAAGAGGGAUCUUUAGCAUAUAUGUAGGACGAACUCGGCCAUUUUUUGGCAAGGGUGUCUUCUGUUUUUCUUUGAGGACACGCUCUAGCUCAGGAGCCGAACUCGUUACAGGUGAAAUUUUGACGAGCCAUCCAGUAUUGUGUCCCGAAGAACUUUGAUUUUUUGAAUCGUUGCCUGGUUGGUUUGAUGUGUCUGUUGAUUAAGAUAUUCCAUUAGUUUUUGCGUCAAUGUCAUCGUGGUGGUGACAUCCACAACCGGAAGGAUAGUGCAUGUCCCUCUUCGAUCAUCGUCUCCAGCCAUCUCUGAUAUUUCCUGGCAUUGCUUUGUAAUUCCACUCAAACGACGCCAAUCGUUUCAUCUCUUAACAUCGCCCAAGAAACACUUUCUAUCCUAUUCAUCAUCUCCCGCAACACUCCUCUCUCUCUCUAGCAUCACCUCUACACUCCUCUCUCCGGGCCAGGAUUGCCCAUAUGUCUCCUUACUCCUCAAAGGUGCCCAUACCUCCUCAUAACUCCUCAGCAUCACCCACUUCUCCAUUUGUCGUGUUCUUGCUCGAAUCUUGAUCGUUCUUCGUUUUAUCGCAAUCGUAGUUGUUGUUGAGAUUUUUUUCAAAAAAGUUAAUUUGUUUUUAGUUUUUGUAAAAUCUAGCCAACUGUAGAGUUGGAAACUGUUAUUUUAAACAUCUAAUAUGUUUUAGACAAAAUAAAAUGAUUUUUCUCUUUGUAAACUAACAGCACAAAAAAUGCAAUUCGGAGCAAAACGACGAUAUUUCCAAGAAUAGUCAGCGAAACCUUAAUUCUCAAAACAGUCCAAAACAAUCUAAAGCACGAAACAGAACUUUUCACUUAACGUGUAAAGUAACCAAAUAUUAAUGACAUUUUACUUUACUUAGAGAGGAAUAAAGAAGAAAUUAAGAUAAUGAAAGAUUUUCGAAAGAGAUAAACUCGACUCUCGACAAAGAAAGGAAAAUAUCAGAGGAAAUAUGGAAACAAAGCAGAUGUGGAUCAAUGGCAAUAUGGUCGGCCUUGGAAGAAUAUAUAAACAAGGCUAGGCCAGAGAAAAAGGGGGCAAAAAAUUAGCUCUCGAAAGUCUAUGCACUAAAGAAACCUUAAGUUUUAUUUUUGUCUGUUUGCUAAUGAGCUGCAACCCACCUAGGAUUUCUAGGCUUAUGUGGUUAGUCUAGCGAACUUAGAUAGAUUUCGCUACUUUCGCUUAUUCGACUUCCGUUGUAAUUUUGCUAUCCAGAUCUCCUAGUAUAUAAGCAUUAAUGAUAUGUGAUGUCUAAAACGUGCACCUUGAACAAAAUUUUGGUUUGGGUUUAGUUUGGGUUUCAAGUUCAGGUUUUUUUGCUGAGGCCUAACCCUACCAACAUAAGAGAGUUUAAGUGAGGAAAUUUUAUUUAUCAAUUUUGUUUCCUAAGAUUAUCAUAUAGUUCUUCAGACAAGUGUAGAAAGGGCAGAAGAAAAGUAAAAUUAAUUCAAAUAUACAAUAAGCAUCAACUAACAUCGACUUAGAAACAAAAUUCCACAUUGACUUAGUGAACAUAUGCAUCCCAAUCCUAAAAUUGUAAACUCUAUGUUUCAUACGUUUACGAUUAGAUUAUAGGUCAAAUACAUAAGGACAAUAAUAUUUAUGUAUAAAUAUAAACUAGGUGUUUGCCCGCAAUUUUGCGGAUAGUUAUAUUAUAUAAAGAUAUAUAUCUUAACUUUACACUGUUAUAUUUUUUGAAUAAUAAUUAGAAAUUUAAAAUAUUUGGAUAAUCAAAUAUUUGGAUAAUCAAAAAUUUGGAUAAUCAAAAAUUUCAGUAUAUAUUUUUAGAAAAUAUGUGAAAUUUAAAAUAGUUCAAAAACAUAAACCUUAGUCAUUAAAAUUUUUUCUCUUACAGAAAAGAAUAUUAUAAUUAAUUCAGAUAAUUGGUGGUAAAAUUACUUUAUAUUUUAGUUUAACACAUGAAAAACCGAAAAUACUCUAGCUCUCAAGAGAGAGAAAAAAAAAGAGUGCAUUUUUUGUGUAACUUCAAUAUGACCAAUACAAUGAUCGUAGGCUUUUAUCAUGAAAGAUCUUUUGUAAACAGUUUUGUGUGGGCUUUAAAAACAUAAAAUUUAUAAUAAUUUCUUACCUACAAAUAUAAUUCUUUUAUAUAAUAAUAUAUAACCAUUGAAUUUAUUUUCUAUAAAAAUACUAAAGUAGUUUGUUUAAUUAUAUAUAACUAAUUGAUAAAAAUAAAGAAAUUGAUAUAACAUACAUAUAUAUAUAUAUAUAUAUAUAUAUUCUUUCUCUAAUUCUACAAUUAGUUACCAUAAAUCAUUAUUUGUACUAUCAUUUGUGUUAUUUGGUAAUUUGUACUAAUUAGUUCUAGAGUUACCUUUUAUUUUUAGAUCUGAUUAAAAAAAUAACUAAUAAAUUUUAACAACCAAUCAAAUUAUAACUAUUUUUAAAAAAUAAACCUAUUAAAGACACAUAAUCAAAAGUUUAUUAAAUGACUUCUCAAUUAAUAUAUGGUAGGAUUUAUCUCUUUAAAACCAAGGAUUAAUUUGGUUAAGUUAAACAUAAAAACAUGUAUUAGAAAAUGGUAGUUUAAGCAAUUUUCUCAUAAUUUGUCCCAAAUCACACUUUCUCACUCAUUAUUUUUAAUUUAGUGUUUAACAUAAAACUCACUAUUUUAUCAAACAUUAACUCAUUCAACCAAAUGCUUUUAAUUAAAACUAAUCAUAGUUUACAUAUCUUUUAAAAUUAUUGUUUUAAUUUAUUUUAAAUUAAAUUAAAACAUAUCUAUAUUAAUUAAAUCUAUUAACUAAUAAAAAAAAAUAUUUCAAUUUUUAAAUAACUAAAUGUCGUUAUUUUAGGCAUAUAUACUUAAUAUUAAUGUGAGAUCCAAUAUUAUAUGAAAUAAAAUGUUUUUUAUUUGUAUACAUUUUGUUAAAAUUUUAUUAUCGUACAUUUUAAAAGUUUAUUAUAGUUUAAAAAAUACAUCUCACUAAUAUUUUAAAUAAUUUUUUAUUACUUUCAAUUUACAUUAUAUUUUUCAUCUUUGACUUUAACAAUUGUAGAGAUGGUCAUUUUUAUUGAACUUCCUUAAUAAAUUUAUAUCACAUUGUCUUUAGAAAAUAAUUGGAAUUUUUUUAGAAUUAUAUAUUUGACUGUUUUGCAUUCAUUUGACACAUUUUUAUACUAUAUAUAUAGUGAAUAAGUGAAUUUAAUUAAUAUUAUUAAGUUUAGAUUAAUUAGUUUUCUAAAAUAUAUGAUUUAUUUUAUUCACUGCUAAUAUAAAGAUAAUAAAAACCGUUUUUCUAAUUGUUUCUAUAGUAUCAUAUGUAUUUAUAUGUAUCUUAUCAAUUUAUAUAAUGUAAUCUAGAUAUUUAAUUAUUUCUAUAAAAAAAUUAUGUUAAUUCAUCUAUAUUUAAGAUGCUAAAUUGUAUGUUUGGAAAGAUAGAUUAGAUUAGAUAAUUCUAUGAAUAUUUUCAUUUUAAAAACUUUCAUUAAAUAAAUUAAAAAUUAUCAACCAAUCAAAUUAUAACAAUUAAUCUUAUAUAUUAAAAAAGAAGUCAUGACUUCUUUCAUGUGUGAUUUUUUUUUUUUUUGGACCAUCACUUAGAAAUCUUAUUAAAUGUAUUUUAUUAAGAAUAAUAAUACAUAGAAUCUUUAAAAUACUUUAAUCAUAAUAUCUUUUGAUAUCUUUUUAUUUAAAAUAUAAAUAUAUUUAUUUUAAAAAUCUAACAAAUCUGUUUUAAAAGAUUUUUACAAGAUCUUCAUUUUCGAAAUUAUAUUUAAAUAUUUUUCAUUAAUUUCGAAAUUAGUUUGAAAUAUUAUUAUACAUUAAUAAAUUCACUAAUCAUUUAUAAAAUAAAAAAUAAAAAAUUCUGUAAUAUUUUAUAUAUUAUAUAAUCAUGAUCAAUCAUAUUAAAAGAAAAUUAUUAUAUUGAGCUAAGUAUAAUAAAAUUGUAUUAAAUUUAUAAAUUUUAUUUUCAUAAGUAUAAAAUAUUUAUGUUCAAAAAUAAAAUCUAAUAUGUUGGUAAGAUGGAUUAAGCAAAAUAUAUAAUACAUGUAUAAAAAUUAACAUGUAUUUCUUUAAAGCUUAUAAUAUAAAAUCUUUGUCACUACUUUAAUCAUAAUAUAUUUUCAUUUUAAAUAAAAUAUAUAUUUAUAUAUUAUAUUUAAAAAUUCUAAUAAAUCUGUGUAAAAUUAUUUUAACAAUAAUUUAAUAUAUUUUAAGUUAUCGUUUAUAAAAUAAAAAUAAAUAAAUUAUAUCCUAUUUUACCCACUUUAUAGUCAUGAUCAUGUUAAAAUAUAAUUAUUAUACUUAAAUAAAUAUGAUAAAAGUAAAUUCAAUUGAUAAAUUUAUAAAUUUUAUUUUCAUAAAUAUAAAUUAUUUAUUUUAAAAAUAUAAUAUGAUGAUUGAACGCCUUAAAAUUAACAAACCUUAUAAUACAUGUCUAAAAAUUAACAUAUCUUAGACUUUUGUAUAUACAAUAAUAUAUUAUCUAAAAUGAAUAAGCAUAAAAAAUAUUAGUAAAAAGAAAUACAGCUUUGAAACACGGAUCAGAAUUUAGCAUAAAUUAAAUACAAAAUAAUUUUCAAAUAUGUUUUCUCAUGAAUAUAAUAAUUUGCUUAAUAACUAAAUGCAAAUACAAUAAGAUAAAUAUAUAAUAAGAAGUGAAAAUACAUACGGUUUUAACCAAAUGAUUAAUUAUAACAUGUAAAUUAUAAAAUUAUUAUAUUUGAAAUAGUUAUAUAAACAUUUAAGUACUAGUGGUUGGCCCGCCCUACGGGCGGGUUAGUUUACGCUAAAACUAUUGUAUAUGAAAAUAUAUAUUAAUUUUAUAAAUUUUUUAAAAUUUACUUUAAAAUAAAAUAAUAAAUAUAAUAUUUUUUUAAAAAAAAUCAAAUUGUAUUUAUUAAUAUUUUUUAGUUUGAGUUGAAAAGACCUCUACCAUUUUUUGGUUAUAGAUUACAAAAUUAUGAAAUUAAAAAAUUAAGAAAAUGUAAUGAUUUAUAUUUCUAUUUUAUUUCUAUUUCACUUUGAUAUAGUUGAAGAAAAUCUAAAGUAAGAAUAACAUUUUUAAAAAAAAUUCUAAGAGUAUAAUUAUAAUACUAUUACAAUUAAUUAUCGUCUCCCGAUUAUAAAUUAAUCCACUUCCAAGCUAAAUCAAUUGAAAAUAUAAUGUAAUGUAAUAAAAUUAUAAAAUGUUAUAUUUUAAUGUAAUAUAUAAAUAGUUUCAAUAAUUUCACAAAUAACAAUUAAUCUAUAUUAUUUAACAACAAAAUGAUGUUUUAAAACAAACCAAACCAGAACCAAAGUGGACCCAAUAUUUAUUAGUCAGUUUCUACUAUUGUUGUCCAACUGGAACAAAAACAUUAACAGACAAAUUGAAAUUCAUAAAUAGUCAGUUUCAUUGUUCAUUGUCUAAACACAACAUGAAACACUUUGGUUGCCUCUAUACCAUUUGGUUUUCGGUUCGAUUAUGGUUUUUGUUGGUUUUCCGGUUCUAAAGAUAUAGGUUACCGUUCAAUUAUUUAUGAAUUUCACUUUCGCUAUUUUGGUUUUUGUUCCAGUUUGGAUAACAAUAGUAGAAACUGAAUAAUAAAUUUUGGGUCCAUUUUGGUUCUGGUUUGUUUGUUUUUUCGGAUAAUUCUAGAUAAAUCGGGAAAUUGGAGAUCUUUGUAUUUUUCAGAUAAAAUAUCAGAUAAUUAAAAAAUAUUCUACAUUCUUUUGGGUUAUUCAGAUAUUUUAGUUACUUUGGAUAAAAAAUAUUUGAUUUUUUUCGAGUAGUUUGAUUUAUAUGUAAUAUUUUUAGAAUAUUUGGUAAUUUAUAAACUUAAUGUAAUUAAUAUUUUAAGCAUAUGAAAUGAAAUUUAAAUUUUCUGAUUUGAUUUUUUGAUUCAAUUCCGGUUUGGUUUUCGAUUCUCGUUUAUAUACCUAGACAUAGUUGCUUUAAGCUUUUACACAAACACACAAAAGAGACUAUUUGAAAAUAAAUAUCUAGAAAGUAUAACAAUAAUCUGUAUGCAAUGGGUAUAAAAAAGAAAUGCGGGCUUUCCUCCCUCAUGAACUAACAAUACUACAAUAACUUAAAGACUCUUCUUUUGGAAUAGAUGGAUCUGGUCUUCCUCAAGUACUUCAAGCAUUACCCAAAAGAGUAAACAUCAGACUUCCCAGUCAAUUGUUAUCUUGUACUGGUCUGGAUCAAGAUAAUGAAUCUUCCUAUACCGUCAUACUCACACGUGUCUGGUCAAGAUCUGGACGUCUUAAACAAUCCAAAUUCUGAAACUUUGUCCAUGAAAUUCUCAUCGAAGAGAAUGUUAUCAUACUUCAUAUCGCGGUGGAUGAUACCUCUUGCGGAAUCUGUAUGGAUAUAGUGCAGGCCUCUAGCUGCACCAAGACAUAUCUCAAGCUUCUGUCUCCAGCUCAACCUUGGGCGAUCCAAGUCAUGCACAAUAGUCCUCUUAUUGUUCUCACUGCAAUGCCCGAUUAAAGAAACCAAAUGCAUGUGUAUGAACUGGGACAACAUUUCGAUCACUGUCCUGAAUUUAUUGAUGUAAAGCUAUAGCUGGUUAGUAUAUGUAUUUGAAAAAACCAUUACCUACUGUGGUUGAAGAUUCUUACGGUCCAAUCAGAUUGAUUGCUUCUGGUGGUAGACCAUAUAAUUAAAAAGCCUACUUUCCUCGUUUGCCUUGUAUCUCAAGGACCUCCUGCACUCAAAAACAGAGAACAGUUCGAUUCAAUUAAUUUUUAACACAUUGAGUCAUUCGUUAAUGCAAAAGUGGAACUUUUUGUGGAAGUAAUUCUUGAUUGUAUUACUGAUGAAGCGCUCAGGUGCUUAAUUUCAUUUUCUCCACGUCCCUAAUACUCGAUACCACAUCAUCAUCACACCUGAAAAAAGAGGAAACUUAAAAGAUUAAUAUGUGCCUCCAAAAAUUCAUAUAAUUCAGAGACUCAUGAAGAAACAAGACUUCAAAUGAUGCUAGCCUUCUUUUGACACUAAACACAGUUGGAGUGUUGUCAAGCAGUGGGUUUCCUUUGGGAAGUUCCUCUUCUUUGGCGUUUAGCUCUUCAUUUGCUGCUGCUUUUCCUGGAAAAAUGUAAAUAAUAAAUAUUAAGAUACAACUUUCAUAUGUCAAUGUGUUUAGAAAAAACUAACGUAGUCAUUUUGUUAUAAUUGUAAUCUGAAAUCAUCUCACAGACAAGAACACAUACCUUCCUGAGCCUCUUUAUUUAUUUAUCUGGUCUAGUUCAGCCAUAAGAGAUCCAGUCUCAUCCUCAUCAUCGUCACUUUCUUUAUAUUUAAGAAAGACAACCAGAUCGUAAGAUAACUCAAAGGAAAUUACAAGUCUCAGUUGAUAUAAGUCAUCAAAAACUCUCAAAAAGGAUAACACUGAAGCAAUUGCAUAUUCCCAAACCAGGGCUCUGAGGAAAAGCAUUAAAUCUCAAGCAAAGAAUCUUUAGAAGUUUAAAGCACAAAAGAUGAACUGCAAUAGGAAGGAAAGAAUGGAAAAUAGGUACCUAUCAUCAUCAUCAGAAUCAUCUUCAGAGUCCCUUUUAGAGCCUAAAAGCAGGAUAUCAGAGUUAGAAUUUAGAAAACAUAUAAUCAAACUACUUGUAUCCCGUGACAUAUAAUCAAAUAAACAUAUAAACCUUCGAGUAAUAGCUGAUUCCCUCUCCUGUAGUAGCUUUCAACUAAUGACAAAAAAAAAACACAUUAGUGAAACGAAGGAAGAAUCUUUACAAAAUCAUAUUGAAAAAAAGGUUUGAAAUUUAUCGUCUCACUCAUCACAGUGAGAUUUUUCUUUGGAAGAAAAGUUUCUCCUCUCACGCUCUUCAAGUCAUCACGAAGUUUCUUCUUCUAUAGAACAUCAAGAACUGAUCUCGGUGGUGUUUGAGCAACGGCCUGCUUUCAGAUUUGCGAGAAGAACGUAGGAAGUCGACAUAGUGGGCGGUGAUGCUUGGCAGAGUAUAAUCUUUGAGAAAUCUUAGCGGUGGAGCUGUUCAUGGCAUCUAACGGAGACAUUUAUAGUCUGAAGUCGUACCGAACUCAAACAUGCAUCGCUUACCUUCGUCGCCAAUUAUAAUACAUAAAUGAGGCGGAGUGGGAGGAGAUGUAUGGUGGUGUUAAAUGCUCAUUUUAAUGGUGGACUUAAAAAACGAAUCUGUUACCCAAAGUUUUCAUCGGAUGGAAGAGAAGCGAAAGGAUUAGGGCGUCUCAGUCGAGGAUCAUAAAAACUUAGUCAAACACGGGCCCACGCAUCUGAUACUUAUAAAGACCAAAUUAAAAUAAAAGCCCAUUCACCGAGAGACGAAAAUUUUAGGAGUCGAAGGUUAAGAUGCCACGUGGUGCAAAACGCCCACCUCUAAAAAAAAGACGUGGAGGGCUAAGGUGAGAGAAAACUCUGUUUUUAGGAGUCGAAGGUUAAGAUGCCACGUGGCGCAAAACGCCCACCUCUAAAAAAAGGACGUGGAGGGCUAAGGUGAGAGAAAACUCUGUUUUAUUAUUAUAGAUAUGAUUAAUGUUAAAAAAAUAUCACUAAUGUUUAAAAAUAAUAAUUUAUGUAUAAAAAAGUAAAAACAAACACCCGCGCGGUUGCGCGGAUCAAAAUCUAGUUAAAGAGUUAUUAUAUGAGAGACACGUUAUCAGAAAUCACUAAAGUGACUUCUCAAUUAAUAUAUAUGAAGAUAUUAAUCUACUAUAUAUUAAUUUUGGAGCAUUACAACUUUUGAGUGUAGCCAUAUUGACUUACAAUCCUUCGCAUAUAUAUGACAAUUAAUGAUUUUGAAUAAUAAAGAUUUGAUAAUAUUUUUUGUAUCCUCAAUAAUUUUUGUUUAAUUUAUAUUAUUAAAAAAUUUAAACAAUCACAGUAACCAUAUAAUAAAAAAAUCUAGAUUUUGUUUCUUAUAUGUUAUAUUUAAAAAAAUUUAAAACGAUUAUAAAUUACUAAAACUGUUAAAAGUCUUACAAUGAAAAUUUUGUGAACAACGGUUUUAGUUUUUUGUUAUAAAAAGAUACAAAUGAUCACAAAACAUAUCAAUAUAAAGUAUCAUUUAAAUAGAUAUUCAAUCUGAAUAUCUAUUACCGAGCUUAGAACUUUAGGGUUUAGUUAUAAUCUGAACGAAACCAAAAUCCUAACUAUAAUCCAAAGAUAUCAGAAAUUAGUAUAAUAUGUUAAUGUUUUUUUUAUAUAUGUUAAGGCAAUUUAGAUAUUUUAUAGUUCGAAAGAUUUUUGUAGUUUAUUUUAUUUGUUAUCUUGAAUAUCUUUUAGUUAAUUUAGAUAGUUUAACUAAUUUUAAUUAUAUUUAUGAAUAAUUUUAACAUUUUGAAGCUUUUUUCAAUUUUUGAGGUUUAAAAAUAUAUUUUGGGACGAUUCAGAUAUUGGUUACAAUCCGGUCCGAACCGAACCCGGCCUAAUUAUUAGUAAAACCCGAGUGGGACGUAUAAGCAUAAUAUCAAAAUUUUGAAAAUCUGAAUCAAUUGAACCGAAACCGACGGACCCCGAACGCCCAGACCUAUGAUACAUUUAUAUACAAACAUUUGUAUUCUUCAUUUUACAAUCGAUAAAGAUUAUAAUAUUGUAAAAUGUUAUAACCAUUAAAUAAAUAAAUAUUAGUAUAAAAAUCUUACUCCGCGCCGAUUAUCAUCUAGUAAUAUUAUUUGCCAAAAUCAAUAUACAAGGACAUAAAUAUUAAUUCAUAAAUAUAUUAUAUUUAUGAUUUUACCCUAAAAAUUUUUAAAACUAAAAUAAUUUUCUAGCCAGGUUUUUUGUUAUUUUCGUGUUAUAGGGGAGAAAAUGGUAUUUGAGAAUAUUUUAAAAAAUAAAAAAAACAGCAGAAAGUAGAUAAUUGGUUCGAAAUGUCGUUUUAAUAGGUUCAGCGCCAACAAUCAGUCAGGAAACUAUAACUUCACCUUCCAUUCUCUCUAUCUUCUUUUCAAUCAUCUCCAGAAUGGAAUAAACAAUUAGGUAGUUUCGAUUCGAUGCUGCUCAGCUCAUGUCUUCUUACACCAUCAAAGAAACAAUGGCGACUAAAGAUGAAGUCCAGAACGACCCACUGUUGCAGGCAUCAGAAAGUGACGGUCACGAAGAGUUCAACGGAGCUUCUUUCACCGGAGCGGUACUCAACCUGGCAACAGCGAUCAUCGGUGCUGGUAUCAUGGCUUUGCCCGCCACGAUGAAGAUCCUCGGACUUGUUCCCGGAAUCGUGAUGAUCCUUCUCAUGGCUUUCUUGACCGACAAGACUAUUGACUUCUUGCUUAGUUUUAGCGGAGUCGGGAACGCUAGAAGAUCGUACGGUGGUUUGAUGGAAGAUUCUUUCGGCAAAACCGGAAGGAUUGUGUUGCAAGUUGCUGUUCUUGUUACCAACAUUGGGGUUUUGAUCGUUUACAUGAUCAUCAUUGGUACUUGAUCUUUGAUACUAAUCAGAGCUUUUGAUCUUUGGCAUUUGUUUUAACUCUUGUUUGGCUUGAAGGUGAUGUUUUGGAGGGUAUGCUUGAAGGAUGGUUUGGAGAAAGCUGGUGGGACAAGAGAAGUAUUGUUCUUCUCUUUACAACUCUUUGUGUCUUUGCUCCAUUGGCAUCCUUCAAGCGCAUUGGUUAGAACAAUGUGUUGCAUACUUCUCUUAAAAUGAAAUGGAGAGUGUAUCCGGUUGAUUUAUUAUGGCUUCAUUGCAGAUACUUUGAGAUUCACGUCUGCCCUAUCACUUGUUCUAGCGGUUGUUUUUCUAGUCAUCACUGCGGGAAUCGUCGUUACAAAGUUUUACAGAGGUGGUUUGAUGAAGCCAAGACUCUUCCCAAACGUCACUGACUUGUCAUCGGUCUGGAAACUCUUCACCGUUGUUCCUGUGCUUGUCAACGCAUACAUUUGUCAUUCUAACGGUAACGCUUCUUUCUCACUAAAAGGAUUAAACAGGAACUCAUGGUUUUUUGAUGUUUUCAGUCCACAAUAUACAGAACGAGCUUGAAGACUCCAUUCAGAUCAAAGCUGUUGUGCGUUCAGCUCUAGUGAUGUCCUCCUCUGUUUACGUAAUGACAAGCUUGUUCGGAUACCUCUUGUUUGGUGAAUCUACUCUUGAUGAUGUUCUUGCAAACUUUGAUACCGAUCUUAAGAUCCCUUUCGGUCCGGUUCUCAGUGAGGCAGUCAGACUCAGCUAUGCAGCUCAUCUCAUGCUUGUGUUCCCUGUUAUCUUCUAUCCUUUGCGCGUUAACCUGGACGGUCUCUUGUUCCCUACGGCUACUCCAUCACUUACUACCUCUAAUAUGAGGUUUGGCUCCAUCACUGCCGGUCUCAUUGCUGUAAUCUUUGUUGGUGCAAACUUCAUUCCAAGCAUCUGGGAUGCUUUCCAACUCACUGGAGCUACAACUUCUGUCUGCAUCGGUUUCAUAUUCCCUGCUGCUGUCAUCUUGAAGUAAGUCCCCAUUGUUUCUCAUAACAGACUGGUUUUGGAACCUAAUGGAUCAUUUUACCUGAGGGUAUCUCUUCAGGGAUCGUCAUAACCGAGCAACAAAGAUGGACAAGACUAUAGCCAUUUUCGUGAUUGUCCUUGCGGUUUUCUCCAGUGCAGUUGCCAUUUACAGUGACGCUUACGCCUUAGUCAAGAAGAACAAAUCCACAUUUCCAAUGUGAGCAGAAUGGUUUUGUUUGGUUCUCUUACUCUAAGAAAAAAAAAAAACUUGACAACUGUAAGAAUGACCCCUGUGAUUUUGAUCUUUAGAUCUUGUUCAGCUCUAGAUCAAAUAAAAAUGUCAGAAGCGUCCAUGUCUAGAUCAUAUUUGGCCCUAGAACAAUAUCCAAAUUAAAAUACUGUGUUGAACUGAUACAAUUUGUCACUGUGAAUCUUUAAGAUACAGACAAAAAAACAGCAACAAGUGUCUAUUAGGAGUCGUUGGGACAACUCAAAACAAAACAAAAGAGUUAUAAAGAAUAAAAGGUUUACUUUUAGGAAUUUGACUUAUCUCCAUCGCUGGAGUCAGCCGGAGAAGGGAAGCAUUGGCAAUAUCCAUUAAUGCUAUUUCUUGAACUGCUCUGAUCUGAUCACUUUUCUCAAACUCUUUCUUCUUCAGUGCAGCGAAGAGAAGUUAAACAAAGAUGAGAGAUGUUACAGUCACAAGUGAAUAUAAAUCAGUGCAAAAGCUAAAAAAAAUGUUAAAAAACAUAUCUCAAGUAAGCACUGCACCUGAUAAACAUAAUAGAAAGCUUCUGACUAACUGUCUAGCUAAGAAAACUCAGAGGAGACGGGUAGUGUGCACUCAUCAAGAAGUGCCUCAGAGCCAAUGGAUGGUAACUUUCUGUGAUCUACACAAGAUUGAAACAAAAAGACGGAUCAGAACCUGUCAACAAUUCUGCGUUUAGGCCAUGCGAACAAUGAGUUACUAUAUUUGGAAAGAAAAUAGAACAAUACUCAACGGGUUCUCCACACUCUCAUUAGCACGUAUGAUUAUAAGCAAAUUAACUUCAUAACCUAAAUGCUUCAAGUAUCAACGCAAACCCAUGAUAUGUGCAAAGGCUCAAGCUUUCUUUUCUACGAAUCUAAGUUACGAGAGAUGGGAGAAUUGAAAGCAUGCAUCUAGACCUGUAGAGAACGUCGAAGGAGACGACGGAGGCGCGAGCAUGGCCGACUUUUCGCGUGCCCCAAUGUGAAAUGUAGAAUCUCCUAUGGAUUCCUAGAGUCUCAUAUACCCCUAUUUCAUAAUUAUUUUUUUGAUCAAAAUCCAAACUUUCAAAUCAAAUCCUUCCAGGUCAUCAAAACUAAACCCUAACCCUCCCCUAUAAAUUAGUGAACCCAUGGACAAAUAUUUAAAUUCAGAAUAAAAUAUUUUAAAAUCAUUUUUAAUCAUAUUUUGAUGAUUUUUUUGAAAAUAUGGAAAACAACGUUUUUGGAUUUUUGAAAUAUUUUUAUCAAAUUCUAUAAAUCAAAUAAAAAAUAUUAACGUUUCAAUUUUAAUUUUAUGAUUUUUAGUUUGACAUAUAAAAUUAAAAGAACAAAAAGAUCCUUUUGAGAUUGUGUUAUGAGAUAUAAGGGUAUGAGAAGAUUUGUCUCUCUUUGCGGUUAGAAAAUGUAGGAACUGUGACCAAGAUCUAUAGGUGGGAUCCACUCUGUUUCUCCUUGAGCCAUCUUUUUUUUAAUGCUAGUUUAUUAUGAUAUUACAAUUAUGAAAAAAAUUAUAUAGACGAUUCGACAACCAACAAUACUACUUGCCUUAUGAGGAUUUAUGCAUAACUGCAUCAUGCCUUAUGAGGAUUUAUGCAUAACUGCAUCACCUCAGCCGUCCUAUGAAAAUCCACGUUUGGCCGAAUUUAUUUGCGCCAUGUUAAAAAUCCCUUGUAAGCUUUUUUCCGUAAUUUGUAUAAUUGUUUAAUAAAUCGUUUUUUCCGGGAAUUGAAAGUGGACCUCAUGUAAUAUGCAAAAAUUUGCAUAGAGAUUCGAACCCAAACAUGGAUGUAGAAACCUUUAAACAUUAACCAUAUGAUAUAGUGCUUCCACUAAACCAUCUAUCUAAGAUCCUGUUUCAAAGAAAAACUAAAACUUUAAAUAUUUGAUUUCAAUUAUAUACUCCAACAAAAGUUUAUAACUUUAAAUUUUAAAGUUUUGAAUAGUUAAACUUUAAUUUGAGAUUUUAUAUUUUAAAGUUUUAAAAAAAUUAUCUGUUUUCUAAAUAAUCUUGUUAAGUUUCAAUAUUAUCAUUUUAGUUCUUAUAAUUUCUAUAUUUCAUUAAUAUUUUACAUAUAAAAUACUGAUUUGGUUUGCAACUUAUAUCUAACUAAUAAAUAAAUUUAUAUGUCAUUUUAAAAUUUAUUAACUGAUCAUAUAUAAAAACAUUACAAAAUAAUUUUAUUGAGUAGUUUGGUAUUUUAUUUGUAAGUAAUGAUUUAAUUUAAGUUUUUCAGUUAUCAUUUAUCAUAAGAUAGCAUUUUUCUAACCAAUAUUAUAACUAUUAUAACUUUAAUCAAUUUUUAAUUAAUAUCGAAAACUAAAGUGAAUAUAUAAUAAGAUUUAAAAAUACAUUGUAGGUUUUAAUAUUGGAAAGUAACACCCCAAAUCUCAAAUUUAGGGGUUUUCCAACCUUAAAAAUAUGGCUCCUCUUGAAAAUGCUCUAAGUUGGACUAUGGGUUUGUUCAUGGAUAUGAUCAACUGGAAAAAUAGACUGUUUUCAAAUAUCAAAAUUGUAAUCUCGUUACAGAAUUUUCUUCUUUUUUUUUUAAAUUAGAAAUUUUGUUUAUGUUGAAAUAACACUGUCAAGAUAUGUUAUAGUUUACUAAUUAAAUACAGGAUUAGAGUGAGCUUUGGGUUCUAUAUAGAUUCAGUUGCUCCACCACGUAGACCAAAUUGUUUAAAAAUUGCCUCAAUUUUUUUUUUUUUUGGUGUAAAAUUGCCUCAACUUCUUGUUCAUUCUUUUAUUAGAAAUGAUAUAAAGGAGUGGGAUCUUCAAUUUUUACGAGAAUAUAUGCACCCCGAAGAUUUAACUUUGAUCUUUGGUGUUUCCCUAUGUCUGACCGAUAGGGUUUUGUAAUCUGCGGUUUCUAAUUUUCUUAGUGGUAUAUACUCUUCUGCUUUGGUGUGUUUGCUUUGUUCUAAAUUUUCUCAGUGCAUUACAAAUAACAAUCUUGGUUUUGUGGCUUCGCUUUGGUUCGGGGAGUGCCAAUUCCGGUUUUGAUUGGUUGGUUAAAGCAACAAUUGCAAAGUUUUGGUUUAAGGCAAGUCCUUUAUGUUGCGUGACAGUGAAUACUUUUGUGUUGAGUAGUUUAGUAAUGCGUUCUUUCCAUGGUAAUUUAUUAGCUAUGUGCUCUUUUUAACGACGCAAGGCAACAGCUAUCUUUAAGGAGAAUCUUCACACCACUAUUCUGGUGUUUCUCCUCUGGUGGGGAGGUUUUGGCUUUGCUUCUCUUCUCUGAAAUUGACACUCUUUUUACAGCUGAACCUUUCGUUGUCUUUAACUUGGUAGUCUGUGGAACUCUUGUGCUAGCCUCCACGCUUUAAGGAGAAACAAAAUCUAGAGUCACCUUUAUACUCUUAAACAGUUUGCAUAACAUUUGAUGAGAUGUUUCUCAAAAGUCCAUGGCUUUAUAUCUGUAUAUGGAAAAACAUACAUCGACCAUAAGCAAAGUAAAUAAGAUAGAUUUUGAAUAAGGGAACUCUUUUGUUAGGUCAUAGAGCUUGUUCCAACGUCAAAUUAUGAUUCACAUUGUCUGUCUUUUAUGCAUUUUGGUUUGUUUUGUUUUGUUGAAGAUGAAAGUGUAAUGAGCAUUCGUCAAUCGUUUCUUCUCACGUAUAUUAUGACUAUCCGAGUUAAAGAUGCUAAUUAACCAGAGUAAAACUUUGAAAGCUGAUUUAGAUUUUUCAGAGAAGAGAACUCUGUGUAGUAAGAAGCAUUUGAGAUUGAAGAAAAGAACUAGUUCAUUAACAGUUUUGGUUGCACUAGGAUUCCCAGAGUUAAAAGAUGCUUUUUGGUUGCUUACCACAGUAAAAAGAUUGAGACUUGAGUUUGCAAGAGAAAAGAACAACUUUUUAACAGUUAGAAACAUACAGUAGUAAAACUUUGAAAGCUGCUAUUCAAAUGCUAAAUUAACCGCAGUAAAACUUUGAAAGCUGGUUUAGAUUUGAGACCUGAGUUACUAAACUUUAUAAUGAACAGAAACAACAUAUACUAAACAGAGACUUUAAACAGGAGACAUACUAGACCUUCAUGAAUAUAAAGUACGUACUAAACCUUAAUGAACGGACACUAAACUGAAAGAAGUCUGUCGAUUUCUUCAACCCCAAGACUUUGGUCAGAGUUCUCUUAACGGUCUUUGUCUUCCAGAACCUCAACUUCAAAGGCUUCUUGUCUGAAACAGCAACAUCAUCCGUCGCUAGUUUCUUCUUGGAACCUCUUCGUCUGAUUCUCAACUUGAACAGGUUCGACAGAAACGAGUUACUUGUCUUCUCCUCUGUUGUCUUCUCAUCCUCUUCUUCAACUUGUGGACGAGGCAAGAAGGGAUGAAGCAACAACUCAUGCGCGCUUCCUCUCUCCUCAGGGUUCCUCGAGAAACACGUUUGGAUAAAGUCCUUUGCAUCACAAGGAACCGUUUCAGGUAUCUCUGGAGAUUUACCAGAGAGGAGACGAGUAGCGAUCUCAUCUAGUUCGAGGCCUUCCCAUGGAAUCACGCCCGUGUACAUCUCCAGAACCAAACACCCCACCGACCACAAGUCUAGAGACACGUGGGCGAUGCCGUCACGGACCGACUCGGGCGACAUGUAGAUCGCAGUCCCAAGCCACGGGAAAUUAAUUUCCCAACACAGGGGAACCUCUCCUAUCUCUAACGCGUUGCCGAAAUCACAAAUCUUGACCUCGUAUGAAUUUUGUCUCAAAGAGGAAGAAGGGAAGACGAGUAUGUUGUCUGGUUUGAUGUCGCAAUGAACGUAGCCAUGGUCGUGAAUCGAGACCAAACCUUCGAGAACCAUCCGUGUGAAAUCCCUGAUCAACGGUUCAGGCAACUUUCUGUCGGCGUAAUUGUUCAUGAAAGCGUGGAGACUACCUUCGGAAGCAAACUCGAGUUGUAGUUUGUGGAGUUUCUCCCCGAAUCUGCUGAAACUUUGUUGGAGAGAGUCUCCGAGACAUGUGACGAUCCUGGGACAUCCCUUGAGUUGGAGAAGAACGUGGAACUCUCUUUGGAGAGCGUUGUAGUCUUCUUGGUAAGAGUUCUUUACGGCAGAGAGGUAGAAAGAGUUGUCGUCGGGAUUAUUGUAGCGGACGAGAUUAACAAAACCAUAAGCACCUUUGCCUAGUAACUUGACGAAUUCUUCUUUCGUUUGCAUCUUUUCAAUCGGGUUUUGACACAGAAUCGUUGUUCGGAAACGUUGAGAGAAUUAAAAAUAGGAAACUGUGGCGAAGGAGAAGUGAUUUCAGAGUGUUAUAUAGAGAGUUGGGGUUCAGUUAAGUCGGUGUUGCAGACACACGGAAAAAGGAAAAUUGAAUAACAUAAUUUCCUUUUCUGAGAUACUUCAAAAAGGAAAUUCGAAGCGCUGGCCAACGGUUGAAAAAAGGAAAAGAAUUCGAAUUUUUGGUCAUUUAUAAUUAAAAUGUCCAAAUUUAUAACAAUAAAGAAUUUGUCCACGAUUUAGUUAAUGCUUUCAUAUAAAUUUUUAUUCAUGUCGUUUAAUGCUUAAAAUGUAGUUUGGAAAAAUAUAGGAUUAUAUUUAUUUUCAAAAUUUUAAAGCAGAAAAUGGUAUUUGUUUUGAAACUUCCUCAUUAAACAUAAAUGCUGACAAUGUUAAAAGAACAUAGUGUAUUUGUGACAUCUAAAAAAAACUAUAGAACUUCUAGUGGAAAAAUGUUUAAAAUAGUGACUAAACUUUUUGGCUAUAAAUUUGUUAAGCAUGACAAUUUACCUGAAUUCAAAAACAUGUUCACUAGAUCAAAAUAACCAAAACCGGACCAAAACUUUCAAAUAUUUGGAUACUUCUUAUACUUUUAUAUUCAAAAUAAUCAAACCAAAAAUUAAAUAGACAUCUAUAUAAAAAUAAUUUGAGUCGUUUGAUAUAAUUCGAAUCAUCCUAAUUACUCAAUAUUUUACUGAAUCAAACGAGACCUCGGAUCACAAACAAUUUCUAGUUUUACUAUCUAAACUAGUCCAAAAACGAAACUAUCCGAACUUAUUCAAACCAAGAAGUUGGCAGUUCCUAAAAAUACCUGUUCAAAAUAUCUGAUACAUGUAAUAUCUCACACGAGCCGAAUCGACACCCGAAAUGCCCUAGUCUAAUUUUGUAUUUGAUUUAAAAAAAUCUAACUUUUAAUACACAAAAAAAUUCAGGCUUUGUUUUAGAAAUUUGAAAGAUUUAAUUAAAAAUUGUUGCUAUAACUAAAAAUGUAGUAAUAUUAUAUAUAUAUACUUAUAUAUGAUAUGUAUUAGUUAAUAUUUAGGAAAUUAACAAAUAUGAUAAAGCAAUAAACUGAUACAAUUAAUUAGAUUUAUAAAAUGAAAAUAAAAAUAUCUUAUGUUAAAGAUUUAUUGUUAAAUAGUGUUUUUGGAAUUAUUUUCAUACUUUAGUAGUAUAUCAUGACUCAUUUAAAUCAUAAUGGAGAUGAUGUAAGGGAAAUUCUAUCAAAUAGCUAUUUUUAAGUUUUUGUCACAAAAAUAGUCCUCACGAAAGAAAAUGAUCAAAAUAAUCUUUUUUUUUAUUUUAAAAAUUUUAAUAUUUAUUUUUAUUUUUCAAAAUUUGAAACCCUAUUCCCAAAACCUCACCCCUUAACUCUAAACCUUAAUUCUAGAUUAGUUAACCCUAGGAUAAAAAUACAUUUUUAUCAUUUAGUAAAACUUAUUUCGAUCAUUUUCUUCGUUAGAGGUUAUUUUUGAAAAAAAAACUUAAAAUGACUAAUUUGAACUGAAUAUAUAAAAUAAAUAUAAAAAACUUCAUUAGAGGCUAUUUUAUUCAUGAGGAUUUUUGUGAAUAAACUCAAAAUAAAGCUAAAUCGAUAUCAGUUUGAACCUCAUGAGUCCCUCUUAAAGUGUUUUUCAAAUAUCAAAUACCUUAAAAUUUGUUUGAAUGUGGUAAGAUGAUCCAGUAUACUCCUCUUAGUGUUUUGUUAUCAGUGAAAUCACUGAAUGACCAGAUAAUAUCGUAAUUUGUUGGCUGGAGUCAGCUUAUUAUAAGUUUUGGUUCGAUCCUUUUAGAAAUAGUAAAUGUCGGUUCGGUUCAGAUCGAAUCGGUUUGGUUCAACAAAACAAAUCAACACCUGAGUCCCCCCCCACCACCACCCAAACGCCUCCAUAAACCUCAUGUGCUUUGUUCAGAGGAUCUCGUCUUCUUCUCUUUCUAAUCGAAAAUGGGAACGUUGGGACGAGUAAUCUACACUGUGGGUAACUGGAUUUGCGGGUCUGGGCAAGCUCUAGAUCGCAUCGGUUCUCUUCUUUAAGGGAGUCACCGCUUGGAAGAACACCGUGAGCCACAUUCAAACCCUAGAUCCAAAUCCACAUCUCUAAUUUGUCGCUUACAAGAAAAGAUCUGUUCAUAUUCGAGAAAUUGGUGGUCUAAUUUAGGCUCUCGUUUUCCAUUGGUUGUUGAUGAGUGUGUUUGACAUCUUAUGUUACCUGCGGACAAACAUAUAUCAAUUACCAUUUCGAUUAAAAACUGUUGAACCAUGACAGAGAUCAACAUUGCAAUACUCUCGGAUUACAAUAGACAAUAACAACCGUAAUUUUCAGAAGAAAAAAAAAGAAACUGAAAACGAAGAUGGAGGGCAGAGAGAUAACCAUUUAGGGAGCUUCGGAACGCGAGUAUGCUAUUGAAGCUAUCAAAGUAACUUCUCCAUUACUCUAAGCGACUAUGUGAUAGAUUCCCUAGAAAUUAUCUGCAUAGAGCAAGACUCAAAGUUGGAGUUAUACUUCACUUGUCAUUAUGUAAUCAAGACAGGAGGUGUGUGUUUCCAUUGAUUCUCGAGGUUCUACAAAAAAAUGGUGUAAAGACAAAUGACGGAGUUGUUCUUGCAGUCGAGAAGACUAUCACGUCACCGUUACUGGUAAACUCUCCAUGUGAGACUUUUGGUGGGUUCUGCUCUUUGCUUUUUUAAAGUCUCUCCUUCUUUUUUUCAGAAGCCGGGCAGUCUGGAGAAAAUCAUGGAAACUGAUGACCAUAUAUGUUGUGCAAUGACUUGUCUGAUUGCUGAUGCAUGUAAUACUUGUUGAGCACGCACGAGAGGAGACUGAAGUGAGACCGCUCUCUGUUCCUACUUCCUAAUCAGCUCUGCCUAAGAAGGGUCAUAACUUUUUCUUUUUCUUUUACUUCAGACUUAUGAUUUUUAUGAUGGGAUCAUUUGUAAACACGAUUCAGAUUCACAAUUGAAUUGAACGAAAUGAAAACAUAGUUUUCUUAAAUUGACACUUGUCCUGUUUUUUAAACCUGAUCCCCCCUGCACAAAGUUAUGUAUUGAUUUUGGCCUUGUGAGUUGUGGCAUAAUAUGAGUUAGACCACUUAACUAGUACCACUUUUAGUUACAACAGUACAUGCGGCACCAAGCAAGGAUUGUGUCUUUAAAAGGAGGCGUUAUGAAUUUACCUCUUGAUAGAGUUAUAAGCGCAAUGACAUUAGAGUUUGGAAAGAUUUGUUUUGGUGAGAAGAAUAACAAUACAUGCAGUUUGAUAGGAAUAGUUAACAUUUUCUUAAGGAAUACAAUAUUACAUCAAACCAUUUCAUAAAUGUUAAAGUAAAGAUAGAACUCGGAUCAGACAUAACGGUUGUAAGGGAUACAAAUCAGAUCCAUCCAACCAUUUCCGUUGAUAAAGGUAUAAACCGAGUACUUCUGAGCUUCUUCGUCCGUCAUAUUGGGUUUGUACACAGUCUACACGGUUGCUAAGACCCAAACCCCAGUUCCAGUGUUCUUGUACUCUCCAUACCUCAACGUCCUAGGGUUCCAUGUGAUCCAACCCCUCGGCUCAACCAUGUCUCCUAAAAACAUCUUCAUAACAAGAACCGUUGCAAACGGCUUCCAAGGUCAUCCAAGUUACAGAGCCGGCUCAGAGGACAAACCACACAAACCAUCGUUUAGUGCAUACAAUACGAGAAAACAUAAUAUAUUUAUUAAUAAAAGUUAUAUAAAUAAUACUAAUAUUUUUAUGAUUAUUAUUAUUAUUAUUAUUACUAUCAAAUAAAUACAAAUUAUGUUUAUAAACUUAAUAAAAUUAUAUAAAAUAUAAGUAAAAAUUAUUAAAAAUAUAAGUAAAAAAUAUAUAAAACAUAAGAAAAAAUAUUAUCUUUUAAAUGUGAGAUGUUGUAUUAACAAAUGAUUUUAGUAAUUACGACUGAUUAUAGUUAAAAUGUUGCUGAUAAUAUUAACAAAUAUUACUAUACAAUUAACUUUAUAAAAUUAUAUUUAAUAAUUAUUAAUGAAGUUGAAUUAGUUUAAAGUUUUUUGUGAUAUCUUAUAUUUUACAUAUAUAUAUAUAUAUAUAUUAGGAAAAAAUGUAAAUAUAUGUUGUUAAAAGUUUGUAAGGCAUCUAAAAGUGUUGGACCUUGUUAUGGCAUGUUCGUGCUGUUGAAAAUCACGAAGCCUGGGAAAUAAUUUGUAAGGCAUCUAAAAGUGUUGGACCUUGUUAAACGAACAGAGGUAGGGGUGGACACUUUACCCGAAAUCCGAAGUGGCACCUAAACCCGAUCUGAAAAACCCAAACCGAAAUCCGAACCGAAGUAGCAAAAUACCCGAACGGGUAUUAAAUUAGGAGAGAUUGGAUAUCCGAACCCGAACGGAUAAUAUCCGAACCCGAAUGGAUAUCCGAAGAUAACCGAACAUAUAUAUAAUUAACUUUAUAUUUCUACUUUACAUCUCUCAUUUUAUAUAAAACAUUUAUAUUGAUAUUACAUAUACUUUAAGUUCAUAUGAUAUAUAUAUAUAUAUAUAAUUAUGAAAAAAAUGAUUUGCUACUCACUUAAAAUGCAUGUCAAGUUUUUUACUUCAAAAAUUAACAAAAAGUUACAUCAAAAUUUUAAAAACAAUAACUAAAUUAAUGUUUUUUUAGUUUUAAAAUGUUAUGUCCAAAUCUAUUAACCAUUCAAUCUAUUAAAAAUAAAAAAUAAGUUAAGUGAAAUUUAUAUUUUUAAAUACAAGAAAUUUGAGAAAUUAAAAUUGAAUUUUUUUCUUUCAAAAUCUAAAUAUCCGAACCCGAUCCGAAAUAACCGAAACCGAACUAAAAAUACCCGAACCCGACCCGAAGUACAGAAAUAUCCGAACGGGUUCUACACUUGUAUACCAAAAUACCUGAAAAUCUCAAAUACCCGAUCCGAACCCGAACGGGUAUCCGAACGCCCACCCCUAAAGAUGGAUAUCGUAAUUUGAUGGCUGGAGUCAGCUUAUUAUAAGUUUUGGUUCGAUCCGUUCAGAAAUAAUAAAUGUCGGUUCUGUUCAGAUCGAAUCGGUUUGGUUCAACAAAACAAAUCAACACCCGAGUCCCUCCCCCCACCCAAACGCCUCCAUAAACCUCGUGUGCUUCAGAGGAUCUCGUCUUCUUCUCUCUUUCUAAUCGAAAAUGGGAACGUUGGGACGAGUAAUCUACACUGUGGGUAACUGGAUCCGCGGGUCUGGGCAAGCUCUAGAUCGCGUCGGUUCUCUUCUUCAAGGGAGCCACCGCUUGGAAGAACACCGUAAGCCACAUUCAAACCCUAGAUCCAAAUCCACAUCUCGAUUCGAGAAAUUGGUGGUCUAAUUUAGGCUCUCGUUUUCCAUUGGUUGUUUUGAUGACAGUAUCGAGGCAUCGGACGUUGAUGAGUGUGUUUGAUAAAUCACCAUUGGUGGAUAAGGACGUGUUCGUGGCUCCGAGUGCCUCUGUUAUUGGUGAUGUUCAGAUUGGGAAAGGCUCCUCUAUUUGGUAUGGCUGUGUUCUUCGAGGUAAAGGCCUUUUCUUUCCCACUAAAUCCUUUAAAAUGUUUUGUCUUUGGUAGCGUUAAGGCAAAGCCAAAUGAUAUUUGGUUGUUGGGAAUAGUAUGUCCCCCACAAAGACUUAAAAAACAAGAUUUGAUAUAAAUUGCAAGCCAAGUAUCAAAUUUGCAGCAUUAUACUUUGCAAGAUCGUGUGCAUUCGUUACAGUUUAGAUCUUUGCUGAUUUACUUGAUUGUCCUUUUCAUUUGAAGGUUCUAGGUUUAGUGUAUUCCUGAUGAGACGUUGUGAAAUAGCUGGAACUCAUUGUAACUUUUGUGCAGGUGAUGUGAAUAACAUCAGUGUUGGAUCUGGGACCAACAUCCAAGACAAUUCUCUUGUACAUGUUGCAAAAACCAACUUAGCUGGGAAGGUUUUGCCUACUACAAUUGGGGACAAUGUCACAGUAGGUAAACUUCUAAAACUGAUUUAUCAGCUUUUGAGAAUCUGUUUUAUGUAAUGUGUUCUGUUGCAUGAUUCUUACUUAAAAUCUUUGUGUGUAAAAAUUAAACCGAGCAGGUCAUAGUGCUGUCAUACAUGGUUGUACUGUUGAGGAUGAGGCUUUUGUUGGCAUGGGUGCUACACUACUCGAUGGUGUAGUGGUUGAGAAGCAUGCCAUGGUUGCUGCUGGUUCCCUUGUGAGAGAGAACACACGAAUCCCUUCUGGAGAGGUUUCUUUCUAUUCUCUUUUUCUUUUCUGGUUUACUUUCUACUGCGUUUGUGAUAAACAUAUUGACAAGUUAACAAACAAUUCAUGUGGCAGGUAUGGGGAGGAAACCCAGCAAAGUUCAUGAGAAAGUUAACAGAUGAAGAGAUAGCAUAUAUCUCAAAGUCGGCUGAGAACUACAUCAACCUCGCACAUAUUCACGCAGCAGAGAACUCAAAGUCAUUUGAAGAGAUCGAGAUUGAGAGAGCGCUUAGGAAGAAGUAUGCACGCAAGGAUGAGGAUUACGAUUCAAUGCUUGGGAUUGUCCGUGAAACUCCAGCGGAAUUGAUUCUCCCCGACAAUGUCUUACCGGAGAAAACUACCACCAGGGUUCCAACUACUCAUUACUGAUUCACCCGCCUCAGGUUGUUUUGCAGACAAAGAUUGAUUAAGUCAAGAGAGAUAUUAUCUUUUGGUUUUGCCCUUUUUUUCUUCCGAGUAAGCAUGGGAUUUGUUAUAUUCUUGCUCAAUAAAGCCGAAAAGAACAUGUACUGUUGCAUUAUGUCACAUUUGUUGGAUGAAUAAUUGCAUAAAGAAAAACGAUUUGCAUUCAUUGUGUUCUUCUCUUUUGCUGAUGAUGAUGAAAAUGAGUUUGGUUUCAAGGAUGAAUUAGUGUAUAGAGAUCAUGAUUUCUGAAUCCAAGUUAUAAACUAUUAGGACUUGGUGUUUUGGUUUAGUUUUUUGAGUUCUUAUUUUGCUAUUAAGACUUGGUGUUUUACUAUUUAAGCAAGGUUUUUUUUUUGCAUUGGUGUUGCUGUUUUGGACUAAAAUGUGGUUGAUUUGGUGUGUUUGGUUCUAGCAUACAUAUUUUACAAAGAUGCUGAUGAACUUAAAGUGGGACUAUAAGAUGGUUUGAAUACGUUUUCUAUAAUGCAUACGCAUGGCAUUUGGCUGAGUCUCAAGACCAAACCAAGCAUUGCGUGACUAAUAACAGAGACAUCACUGGAAGCUGACAAACAAUAUUUGGUCAGUGGAACGAGCAGGACCUGUGUUGCCUUGUCCCAUCCACAGACCACCGCUUAUCAAUAAUCCAGACAGUUCUCAGGGAUAUACCGAUUCGUAACAUCUAAUAAGAUGGCACCAGCAUAAAUUCUAAACAAAACAAACCUGAUUCAGUUUGCUUAGGUAAAAACUAUUACUGAAAAUUGUAACCUCAAAAAAAACACACAAAGAUUUCACGCUGAGUAAAAAGCAAAAUACUUGGGACAUAGACUGAUUUUUAAAUUCAGCUUGGAACUUUAACACCAAAGAGCUAAAGACGGACACAGUUAUAAUUCCAAAGUUAUUUGUGAUCAAACUCUAACACUCUCACUUUCUCACAUUUCCAUUGGUGCAACAUCCUGAUCACCUGCACCACCUUGUUCUGCAGCAGCAGCUUCAGCCUCGGCCUCACCACCAUCCUCCUCUUCCUCGGGAACGUUCUCAAACGUAUCAAUCACCUUCUGUAUGCUAUCCUGGUCCAAGAAAUGGAAUGGUUCAUCGACUCCUAGAACAGAAACGGUGCAGAGCGAGCUCUUGAGUGUCUCCCCUUGCAAAGUUUCCCUUAUGGCCAAAAUAGCAUCUUUGAUCAGAUCUUCUCUUGAUGACUCAUUGAAGCUCUCGAAUCUUCGUUCUAGAUAAGUUUUCGCAGCUUGUGAACGUGACCCGAUGGCGAACGCUUGGUACUCAAAGUAGUUUCCGCUGGGGCAGUUGUAGUAGAGGUGGGCUCCUGACUCGUCCAGUCCCCCUACCAGCAAACCCACACCAUAAGGUCGUUUCCAUGACCGUUGGGUACAUACCUGCUCAGAAAAAAAGUAUGAAGAGGGUAAACACAAGAUCAACAAACAAGUUCAACGAUCAAUAAUACCAGAGUUUUGUUCAAAGUACAAGAUUAAUAUAUGAGGCUUAUGGUCAGAAAUCAACCGAGAAAAAUGUCAAUAGAGCAGCUAACUAGACCUGUUGAAGCUGUGAAUACAUUAUUAAACUUAGAACUCUAAAUUAGACGCCAAAGUGAACAUAUACCACAAAGUUUCUAUUGCAAUUGUAAAACAAGAUCGUACUGGACGAGCACAAGAGAGGGUGAGUACACACCACAAGUGAACACACACAAAGUAGCGCAAGUUGAAACCACAAAAACCAAAAAGAGAAGAGCGAAGACUGUAUAUCCAAUUUUGCUUACAAAAUUGAAGAUAACAAAAGAUGCAAACAGCAACAAACACAACUAAAGUAUAAAAGCAGGCACAUUCUUAUACAGUUAUAUUGCCUCAAGUUGAUAACUUGUACAGCAUUCCCUUGUUAUAUUUUUGUUGGUAAAAUUCAAUAUUCGAACCCAUGACCUCUAGCACAAAACUAUGUCACACUGUCUAAAGUCAAUCUCUUUUGUUGUAUGUAAAAUUCAAUAUUCGAACCCACGAACUUGAGGUUUGGAAUGUUAAAGUGUUCUUAUCACAAAGCUACUAUGGUCACAUUGGUCUAAAGGCUAUGUAUGUCUUUUUUGUAAAAUUCAAUAUUCGAACCCAAGACCUUGAGGUUUCAAACGUUAAAGUGUUCCUACUACCACAAAGCUACUAAAAAGGCUAUAUCUUUGUAACUCAAGAGGCGGCGAGAGGAGGGAAAGGAGUAAACCUGGGCCUUAUCAGCAAGACGAACGACGAGGCGGCCAACAGGGAGAGGAGACUCAUAGGUGAAAGAGUGAUUGAUGGAUUCAGAUCUCAUGUAACGCGAGAGCACACGGCCAUCGGCGGUGAGUCCAGCGAUGGCGACACCGAUGUGGUCAUCGACUUUGAAGAUCUUCCUUUGGUGAGAAGAGAGCUCCGACUGGGCUUUAUUGACGGAGGCGAGGACGACAUGGGAGCGAGAUCUGAGCCCGAUUGCGGCGGAGCCUUGCUUGACGGCUUCCAUGGCGUACUCUACUUGGAAAAGACGACCGGUGGGACUCCAUGUUGUCACGUCUGUGUCGUACUGGUUCCUGAACAUCCUUGCUUCUUCUUCUUCGUCUUUGUUCGUCAAAAGAGUGUGUAUAGAGAGAAAGACGCAGUGAAAGAGGAAAAGCUUUUCGUUUGGUUUGGUUUGGUUUCUCUUUGAAGGGACGUAGAUGGGCUCUUAUAAGACCUAGAUGGGCUUACAUAAAUCUAAAAUGCCCAUAGAAAAUAGAGCAAUUGGCGUGCAUUGCAGAAAAUCAUGUAAACAAAUGCUCAAGUCUUAUUUGAAACUGAGUAUAAUUGUGGUUAUUUACCAUUUAAUCAUUUCUCUUUCUUAUCGCUACUUCCUACUCCCUAGAGUUUAACUUAUAGCAAGAGCCGGCCUUGGAAACAAAACGAAGCUUGUGUUUCUGGCCGCCAAAUAUUAAGAUAAUAACCAGCCACAUAUGGACAGUAAAUUCUCAGUAGCAUAGUGGUUGGCGUGUGGUUACAAGUAUUACAGGGUAGCAUAUUACUUGUAGUUGGCUUUGCUUAUAGCAGACUAGUAAUAUUUAUAUAAUAUUUUAGUUAUAUAUUUAUCUCAUAUUUCAUUUAUAACUAGGUGUUUUUAGCACUAUGUGCAGUAAUAAUUUUUAAAAAUUUAAAUCAUCUUUAAAAUAAAUUUUAUUAACAUUUUAGAUUUUAUUAUUUUUACCAAUAUUUUAAUAUAAAUUUAAUUUAAUUAAACAUAAAAUUAAGAUAAAAUACUGUUUUCUUUAUUUUAAAUUAUAUUUAAGAAUAUAUAUAUAUAUGUAUAUUUUUAAAAUUUUAACCUUAGAUAUAUUUUUCACUCUAUUUUUUUUUUGGUUAAAAAUAUUAAUCAACUAUAAAAUUAAUAAAAAAAUGAUAUAAAAUUAUAUCAUUAUCAAAAAUUAAAACUAAACAGUAUUUAUAAAAUUUAUGGGUAUAUAAAAGAAACUAAUGAUACUAGGAUUAAAAAAUUAUAAGUUUUUUAAAAAUUGUAGAAAAUUUUACAAAAUUUAGUAAUAAAAAUUAUAUAAUUCUAAAAAGUAAAUUACAUAAUAUUAUGCAUAAGCCAUGUCAUCAACUUUAGUAGCUAUGUCUCAUUUUUUAUGUAAAAAUGAUUGUAGAAAAUGAUUGUACGUAGAGAGAACAUGUGAUAAAUCACUUCUAAAAUAAUGUCUAUGGGAUCUAAUUUUCUCUUUCUUUUUCAGGUGCUUUUGUUCGACAGAAUUACAAAAGUUAUAAUCACUACUGAAGGAAAAGAUGAAGAUGUUGUCCUUAAUAUGUAUGUAGUCAUCCUAUUUUUCUGCUCAUUUCGAUAUUUUUUUCUAUUCUCUAAGUAAUUUUCUUUCGCACCUCAUGUGAUCUUAGUACUUAUAAAAUCAAAUUUGUGUCUAUUUGAUAAAGACUGGAAGCAGUUAAAGGAGAGAGAGGAGCUGGCUGUGAAAGCCAAAAGGUUUGAUGAUAGUAAUGAUAUCAUAAAUUGUUUUGUUGAGUUUGAAUUAACUCAUUGUGCCGAAUUGGCUCAAUUUGUUUAAAAAAAUGAAGUCAAUAUAUUUUAGAUUUUAUAUAUAAGAAUGUUUAUUUUUACCAGGUAUGUGUUUUUAAUAAUUGAAGGUUGUGUAAUUUUAUAAAAGGAUAUCACUUACAUUUUUUAGUCUAAAUUACAUAUAAAAAUGAUGAUUAGGUAAAUUUGUUGAAAAAAUUAAGUAUAACUUGUAAGUUAAUAUCAAGUUGACAUGAAAUACUCUGAUUUAACCAUAUAUUCUAUUUAAAUAGAAAUCAACAUAACCUUUACUCUGACCUCAGUGGAUUCUUUCAUCAACGUAACUUCACGAACAUGGAAUACCAGACAAUUCUGUCUUUGGUAGAUCCCUAGGAUGUGAAUAUUAUUGAAAGUAUACCAUUGAGCUUGACUCGUAUAACAUACAGAGAUGGAUGUCAUUUUACCAAUAAUGGAAAAUACACUGUGAAAUAUGGAUAUCAAGUGGAACGAUUUUUUCCCGACAGAGAAAAAGCGCACUGAAGGCUUUUUGUUGGAAAGUAUGUUACUCCCUAAAAAUAAAACACUUCCUUUGGCAACUAGUAUCAGAAUGUAUAUAUAGCGGUUAAGAAAAACUUGAGAGCGAGACAUAUUCAGUGUGAUAUAUAUUGUGUCAGACAUAGAGCAAUUGAAGAAACAAUAAAUCAUGUGUUUUUUAAAUGUCCUCCAGCGGUGCAAGUUUGGGCACUUUCAUAGAUCCCAUCAAAUCAAUAUAUUUUUCCGGUUCAAUCAUUCUUUACAAAUAUGAAUCAUCUGUUUUGGAUAGUUUCUCCGCAUAUGGAAAACCAUAAACUUGCUUAGGUUUUAUGGUACAUUUGGAGAGGACGAAACAACAAAGUUUUUAGUAAUUUGGAUACUGAUCUGAGGGAUACUCUCAAAUUGGCAGAGACAAAAUCAUUACUUUGGGCAGAGGCUCAAGAUACUCUUACUCAGAGGGUCGUCCAAUCUAGGGAUGUAGAAGACUCAAUUUUACCUUCCAUACCGAGAAGAUGAUGUUUUACGGAUGGAUCAUGGAAAGAAUAUGAAAGUCAUUCGGGACACAGUUGGUAUAGCAUGCUUGAAGGCUUUCAUGAACUGAUGGGAGCAUGCAAUACCAGGGCCAGUCUUUCACCCCUUCAUUCGGAAAUAGAGGCGCUUAUUUAGGCAAUGGAAUGUGAGAGGAAUUUAAGGCAAUAUCAUGUCAGUUUUGCAAUGGAUUGUUCUCAAUUGGUGAAGAUGGUUUAUGAACCAGAAAAAUAGCCAGCCUUUGCAAGUUAUUUGGAAGAUAUCAAGUUCCUAAAAUGAUGUUUCAACCAUUCAGACCUCAUUCAUAUACCUAGAACACAUAAUACCAGGCCGAACAGCCUCACACACAGUGCGAGGAGACAACCAUCGUUCGUCGUUCAUAUGGAUGCAGAAUUACCAGCUUGGUUUGCAGAGUCUUCAUGAGUCUGUUUAUGUCGAUGACAAAAAAACAUAUUUGAAGAUGAUAUUUUAUUUCAUUUCACUUGAUAUUAGAACAAAUUAUAGUUAUAUAAUCUUAUAAAAGGAUACCAAAAGCAUAUUCGACCUAUUAUAUAGAAACAUUGACUUAUUUUGAGAAGCUUAAAUACAAAUCAUAGUAAAUAUGUACGUCAAACUAUCUGUACUCUGACAUUUCUAGAUCCUCCAUAAGUUAAUGUCGUUGUACUCCAACUUCUCUAGAUAUUCUACAUUUUUUUAUUUAUAAAUACCAGUUACUUGAUCAGUUGAUGGAUAUGUUAUUUUAUUAAAAGAUAUUUCUAAAAGUAUAGUUAUGUGAUUGCACUAGUGAUUAACCAUUUUUUAGAAAGCUUGUCAUGUAUGGAUUGUUGGAUGUAAAAAGUCUACCCGUACAAGGAAACAUAAAAGUAGCUCUCUAAAAAAUCACAACAACAUAAUAUUGAAAAGGUUGUUAGCUGGAUAAAACUUUCUAAGUACAACUAAUAUUAAUUUUAAUUGUACUUAAAAGGUUUUAUCUGGUUAACAACCCCUUUCAAUCUUAAUAUAGUUUUCAUUUGAAAAUUGUGUCAAUUUGAACAUUUUGAUGAUCAAUCAUGCGCAUUUAUUAAAAGAAGGAAAGCUCUAGAUGCAUGUAAACUAUUAUUUUUAGUAAAAAAUAGUUACAAGGAGAAAACACUUUGAACAUGUGAAAACCAAAUGUUUUUCUGUAAACUAAUACUAGUUUAUUAUAUAUGCAUGUAACAUAUCAACCAAUUUUUGUGUGCAGAAAAAUUGUUAGAAUUAGUGUAAGCAUCAACUAAAAAUAGUUUUAAUAAUCAUGGUCAUAUCCACGAGAUCUAACAUCUUCAUUAGUGGCUUCUCAUGUCAACAACUUUUCCUAUGCCACAAUCACUGGAACCACCCACCACCACCACCACCCAUUUUAAUAAAGCUAUCAUCUUUUUACAUUCUAGUAAGGAACCAAAAUUGCAUCAGCUUCUCCAUUCCCUUGAUCCCUUUCACUCUCAUCAAAGAGAUCUUGUUGCGGAUUCCCUUAUCAAUCAUCCUUUUAAUCACUGGUAGUGGCAAUAACUUAUCACCAUGCAUAAGCUUGUUACGCUCUCUCCAUACUGCAUACAGAACUUCUUGGAAAGCAUAUCUUAUACAGAAGAGGCUCAUCUUUUCUCUUUUCUCAUCCAAUAGAAUAGCCAAGAUCUCAGACCAGAUAACUGUAUAGGAGUCUCGUAAAAUACCUUUGGCUAUAAACUCCCAUAUCUGUGCAUAGUAAUCACUUUCGAAGAAUAAGUGACUCCUCGUUUCUGCAGCAUUUUUACAGAGCACACAUGUAGUGUCCAGUCCCUGGCUCCAUCUUGAUGCUCUGUCUAAGGUCGACAUUCUAUCUCUUAUCAACAACCACACCAUGAAUGCAAACUUUGGAGUUUCUUGAGAAAACCAUAUACCCCGAGCCCAAGAGCAUUGUGUCUUACUCUCUCUGAGCAACAACCAAGUUUCACUAGUUGAAAAUCUUUGUUUAAAUCCUGAUUUCCCUUUCCAUAGACUCACAUCCUUUCUCUCUUGAUUUAGCUUUCCCCCAAUAAUAAUCAACUCCUCCUCUAUUUCAAUGAGUAAACUCAUACGGUGUCAUGCGUCUCCUUCUAGUAUUUAACACAGCUUCCUCCAAAGUCGCAACCCUACUCACUCCCAAGUCGAUAAUGCCUCGAGGCCCUAGCAAAUCAAAGAGAGCUCCCUUAUUCGACCAGUUAUCAAACCAGAAAGAUAUAUGUCUUCCAUUACCCAGCUAUUUCUUGUGAAACAUCUUUGCAACUUCUCUAAGUUUCAAUAUUUUACGCCACAUCCAAGAUCCAUUCUGAGUAUUGACGCUUAAUUUCCAGAAACUUUUCCCUUUCAGAAAAUUUUCUUUGAUACAUUUACCCCACAGCGAGUCACCCGAUAACAUUAUCCAUAUCAACUUAAGGCCAUAUACCUUAUUAACUUCCUUUAGAUCUCUUAGUCCCAGACCACCUUCACUCUUCAUACUACAGACAUCUCUCCACGCUACUUUGGCAUUUGACGACUUAAGUAUUGGUCCUGUCCAAAGAAAUGUUGCGCAUUGCUCCACCUCUUUAAUACAAGCACUUGGGAGACUAAAUACUACUAACCAGAAGUUUGAUUAGACUCAUUAAAACUUGUUUUAUUAACUGCAGUCUACCGGCAUAUGACAAGAAUCUGCACGUCCAAGAGCUUAUUCUGCUUCUGAUAUUUUCCAGUAGCGAAAGAUAGUCUUGCUUCCUCAUCACUUGGGUCAUAAGGGGGAGUCCCAGAUACCUCACUGGAAGUUCACCUUCAGCAAAUGGGAAGUUAGUUAAGAUACUCCUUUUCUCUGCCUCCGGUACUCCUGCCAUAUAUAUUGUAGAUUUCUCUAGGCUAAUUUGUAACCCUGACCACUCUUCAAACUCAUCAAACACAGAAAGGGGCUCCCUCUAUAGACUUUUUAGAACCUUCAACGAACACCAUUAAGUCAUCUGCAAACAAAGAUGUGUUCUAGAAAGCUUCUUACAUCCCGGAUGUAGUUUGAACUUCUUAUCAGCCACUGCUCUAUCUAUUUUUAAAGAUUGCACGUUCAUAUAGAGAACAAACAAAUACGGAGACAGAGAACAUCCCUGACGAAGACCCCUCGAGCUUUGGAAAUAGCCAGCUAGAUCACCAAUGACUUGCAGAGAACAGGAUGGGCUUGUGAUACAUAGCUCAAUCCAAUGGAUAAACCUUUCCGGGAAACCCAAUACCCUCAAACUCUUCAGAACAAACUCCCAUUGCACCGAGUCGAAUGCUUUAGCAAUGUCAAUCUUCAUAACACACCUUGAAGACACUGCAUCCUUGUGAUAACCCUUAACAAGCUCAGAUGCAAGCAGCAUAUUCUCCAUGAGAAGUCUACCUUGUAUAAAAGCCGGCUGAGUCUUUGUUAUGAUUCUUGGAAGUAGCUUCUUCAGUCGAUUUGCCAAAAAAAUUGACACAACCUUAUAGAGUACGUUACAGCAUACAAUAGGAUGGUAAUCUUUCAUCUCCAUCGAAUCAAAUUUCUUAGGAACUAACGCAAGAAUUGUCGAAUUAACACCCUUUGGCAAAAACCCAAAUCUGAAGACUGAUUGUACCGCAACAAUGAAAUCCUGAGAUAUAACCGACCAAGCUGUUUUGAAAAACCCACACGGGUAGCCGUCUGUCCCUGGAGCCUUGUUGUUCGGCAUAGCAAAGAGAACUUUCUGAAUUCCAUCUUCAGUAACUUUUGCUUCAAGAAUACUACAAUCCUCAGAUGAGCAACGAAACUUUAGCAAUUCCUGUAACUCCUCCUCAGAUGCACCCUUGUAAUUCUCUGGCUUGUGAUUUAGAAAUUCUGAAAAAAAAAUUCUCUGCCUCUUGCUUUAUCUCUGAAUGUUUAGUCACCACUCUUCCAUAUGUACAUCUUAUCUCCCUGAUCAUGUUCUGAGCUUGUCGGGUUUUGAUAGCUCGAUAAAACGUCUUAUUAUUCUUAUCUCCACUAUCUAGCCAAUGUAGCUUCGCUUUCUGCUUUAAGUAUUCUUCUUCUAGACUUGCCACAUGUAGGCAUUUACCAUAUGUUUAUGCCUCCUCUUUGACAGAUGCUUCGCUCGGAUUUGCUAGUGUGUUACUCUGCUUCACACAUAGCAGAUCAUACGCCUCUUUUGCUCGAAUUGUUAAGUUGCCCAUCUUAUCUCUUCCCAACUCACGAAUCAACGGCUUCAAAUGCUUUAACUUCUUUGAGAAUCUGAACAACGCCGAGGUAGAGUGAAACAGUCUUUUCGUUGUAUCCCAAUACCUCUGGACCAUAGGAAGAAAGUCAGGCAGGCUACCUAUCACAUUGAUAUACUUGAAGGGUCUUUUGACUUUCUCACUCGGAGGAAACAGUUGAACUUUGCACCUCAUGUGAUCCAAACAUCCCCCUGCUUCAAAAACUGCAUAAGCAUUACUAAAUCUUUGCAGACCCUCUUUAUUUAGUAAUACCCUGUCCAGCUUCUUGCAAAUUACUCCAUCCUCCCUCUUAUUACUCAUGUAAACUGUGGCCCUUGAUAAUGUCAGAGAGCUGACACUGAAGAACCAAACUCUGAAAGUCUCUCAUUCCACACGGGAUCCUACUCAUGUUAUCAAACCUCGAACUCUCAGCUCCAUCAAGAAUUUCAUUAAAGUCUCCCAUGAUCAUCCAAGCUUUAUUUUUGAAGCUAGGAGAACUAUGAUGAUGCACAAGAUCCUCCCACAAUUCCUUCCCACCCUCUACUUGAUUACUCACAUAUAUACAUCAGCAAUAGAACUUUUCUUCUCCUUUCAUCUCCACCAAACAAAUGACUAUCUGAUCAGAUUUAUAUACAGGCAUCAUACGAAUCGUAUCUCUCCAUAAUAACCAUAUUCUUCCUCCUUGGCUAUCUUCGUAAUUUGUUAUUGAUGACCAAUCUCCAAACAGUACUCCUCUUAAAAUCUUCCAUGCUUUCCCUUCCUUAACUCUAGUUUCCAAUAUACAACCAAACUUCAACUCCUUAUUAUAUUUACCCACUCUUUUACUAUGGAAUGCUUCAAAUCUUUAUUGAAUCCACGAACAUUCCAGAAAAAGCACGUCAUUUUUAAAGAUUUCACCGAGAAGACCUUUUACUCUUCGGCUGAACCUCAUGAGCCUUGGUCUUCUGAACUCUUCUUCCACCUCUUAGUUUUACUACCUUGUUUUUCUCUUCCAGGAUCUCAUCCUCCAACAAAUCUCCUUCCAAUAUAUUUGUAUUCUCCGCUUCCUCAUGUUCCUCACUCUCCACUUCCUGUGAUUCUUCUAGUUCACCCUCCUCAACUUCAUCUAUUGAAAGAACAUAAUACUUUGACGCCGAGAUUUGGACUUCACUAGCAUCUCUCUGCAGAGAAUUUUGCACUCUCCCUAUUUUAUCUGGUGAGACAAGUGACCAACCACUACCUCUCACCUGUUUUUCCCCAGUGCCUACCAUUUCAGCCUUAUUAACUUCUCCAAUAGAAUCAUCCUCCGAAAUGACUACCUCCCGGUUCUGUAACUCUUCCUCCUGUUUACUAUCUUUCUCCCUCAACCCUACUAUAGCUUCACUUCCCACUUUAUCACAAUUCUUCUCACCAGUUUCCUUCCCCUCUAUCUUCUUAUCUCUUUUCUUCCUCACACAAACCUUGUCUGUAUGUCCCCAUUUCUCGCACAAGUUACAUCGAGAAGGUAACCAUGUGUAAUAAAAUUCAGCAGUGAACUCCUUCCCUCCCAUUGUGAAAUCAAUCUCCUUAGGCAACGUCUUCGAAAUAUCAACAUUCACAAACACUUUCGCUUCUUCAUAUUUUGAACAAGACAUUGUCUUUGGGUGAAGACGAACAGGAAACUCCACAGUACUCGUCAUGAAGCUUCGAGCCUCCCAUGAGAACGUGUUCAGAGGAAUCUUUCUUAAAUGCACCCACAUUGGUAUAGCUUCCUCCUCCUGCUUAUCCUCUUCUACCUUAGGCGUCCAUUUCUUCACAACCAUAGGAACUCCAGCUAUAUUCUACAUUGGUAUAGUCUUCAUGGCUUUAGCUUUUGGCUUUUAUUAUUUCCUCUGUUUCUACGAUAGUUUCUUCUUUGCUUUCAACUGACCCCCAUAACCUAUGUUGCUUCCUGCUUAAUUAAAAAUCCAAUCAAUAUCCACCACUAAAUAGUCAAACUCUUACCGAGAUUGUCUUGUUGUGAACCUCAGCAACCAACCCAUGUGCUUGAUACCAUGUUAAAGUUCAUAGAAAGAACUUUAAAAACCUCAGCCUUCUUCUUAAUCGACAUUGAAAGAGCAUGAAAUAGUGUGUUGCAAGAGCUUAGCUUAAUGUAAACUUGAGUAGUAUCUGAGUUGAUGAAAAGCUGCACAUUUCUCACUUUGGUUUCUCUGACAUCCAAAUCAGUUGAGACCAAUAUAAAUUUCAAUGUGGUAUUAGUCAGGUAAUUGAAACCUAGAGAAGAAUAACACAUGAAAGGAGUCCAUCAGAGACAGAUAGGCUAAGAAUAACACAAAUGUUAAGUGUAGGCACAAUUCACACUACUUAACGCUUACACUUUGUAGUUCACCUAAAGGAUAAAAUAGGCUAAGAAGUGCCUCGUUGAAUGUUGUACCAGAUAUUUUCGGAUUAUUAACUGCAUAAAAAAGUUAGACACAUUUCCAAAGAGGAAAAGAACAUUACGAUGUAGUCUCUAUAUAUAUUUACAAAUGUCGUAUAUAGUAAAUACCAAGUAAUAUAGACAAAAACGAAACGGAAAGAAAAAGUUCUUGCGAUUCAUUUGGAGAAACAAACAUUGACACUAAGAGAAAUGGAUCUAAUAAAGUAAGAACCCUUAUCAUACAAUUUUGUUUUCCCUUGAAGUUCGGAAUGUAUAAACGGAUCUACGAAACCUUCAUGGUUAAGCUUCCCGUCCACCUUGAGGCGACGAAGUAGCAGUUCGUAAUAUGGCAUUCAAUCAAGGUUCCCACUACAUUUUCUUUAGUUCAAGCAACCGAUGUUAUUGGAUAACACCAACACAGAUUUUCGAGGUCUCUCAAAAUUGAACCUUUACCAGUUUUUCUUCUAAUAUUUUAUUUCAUCGAAACCAAAAAGGAAAGAAAAAGUUUUUGCAAUUCAUUUGGAGAAACAAACAUAUACAUGAAGACAAAUUCUAAAUAGAAAAAAAAACAAUAUUGGAUAAAAUAAAGGACCUUGAGAGCGUGAGGGGAUCACCAACAUCUGUCAAGCUCUGCAUCUAAGGUGGAUUGUUCUGUGUGGAUCCUAGAUCAGAGACAAUGAAUCAAAUCCAAAAAUCGGUGAAUAAAGUCAGCGGUUAAUCUUGAGAGCGACAACGACGGAUCUGGAAGUUCUGAUGUUAGAGACGACGAAUGGGCUUUAUAAAACAAAAACCAGACAUCGAAUAUAAGCAAAAGCCCAAAAAAAAUUAUAAACCUAAACAAAUAAAAUGGUGAGUUUUGUUAAAGCGGACAGGUGUCGCUCCCAGAACGCACGACUUAGUGACAUGGCAGCACCAGGAGGGAGCAAACAUCUUUUUAUAUAAUGGAUAAAAGAAAGGACCUUGAGAGCGUGAGGGCAUCACCAACAUCUGUCAAGCUCUGCAUCUAAGGUGGAUUGUUCUGUGUGGAUCCUAGAUCAGAGACAAUGAAUCAAAUCCAAAAAUCGGUGAAUAAAGUCAGCGGUUAAUCUUGAGAGCGACAACGACGGAUCCGGAAGUUCCGAUGUUAGAGACGACGAAUGGGCUUUAUAAAACAAAAAGCAGACAUCAAAUAUAAGCAAAAGCCCAAACAAAUUAUAAACCUAAAUAAAUGAAACGGUGAGUUUUGUUAAAGCGGACAGGUGUCGCUCCCAGAACGCACGACUUAGUGACAUGGCAGCACCAGGAGGGAGCAAACAUCUUUUUAUAUAAUUAGAUAAUUAGAUAUGCAGAUUCACUUAUCCACAAUAUGAUGUACACACAUGUUCAAACUCACUUUCCACUUUGUUUUAUCCAUGCUCAGGUGUCCAUUUUGUUUUGUCCACUCUCACUCAAACUUCAAUUUUAGACUAUCUACAAUGAGCUAUUGAAUAAUAAAAAAAAAUCAAUAGUUGAAAAGACAAUGGUCUAUUGAAAAACAAGUUGAAUCAUACUUAUAUUAAAUAAAUUUGAAAGAAUUUAACAAUGUUGAAUCGGUAAAGUGGAGCCAGAGUGAAGCCAUCAAUGACCACCUUUCAUGAAGUUAUUGGCUAUAGAGAUUUCUGAUUUGUUUUUCGUCUGAAUUAAUUGAGAUAAAUUAUUUCAUUAAAUAAUUUUGAAAAAAUAUAUUUUUACACCAAGAUUAUCAUGUUUCAUAUUUUAUAAAUAGAGACUUGCUCCAUUUAAUUUUGAAACAAAAAAAACUUAUCUAUUUCUACUAUAUUUUCUAGUAGACUACAAUAAACUCUUGUUUAUAUAUUUUCCCUUUUUCAGUGAAAUGAAUCCCAAAAAUAACUUUUUAACACCCAAAGUUCUACUAAUCAUCCUUUUAACUAUCCAAAUCCAACAACUAUCAGUUUUAAAAUAUUGGAGAAAUGAAUUGGUGCAUACGACAACGCUAAGUGUAUGCAGCAAGGUAUUAGUCGAAAAUGAUAUAUUGGCGCAUGAGCUAUAUUAGAGUGAUAAGAAUGGGCAUUUUAUUUAAUGUCAGAAUGAUGGCUCGCUGUCUGUGAUCAACCACGUUAUGGUAGUCAAGUAUGAGGAAAUACUGGUUUUGGAAGCAGUGGAUUUAAGAGAGCCCAUGAAAGUGAUGCUCGAAACUCCAGAUCUGUAAAAUUUAGUGCUCGUCCAAUGGGGAUGAAUGCAUAUAAGAAGAAAAAAAGAUAAAAAUAUGGGCUCUUACCAGCCUUGGAUGUGGUCAAUGAAAAUUUCAUUGAAUUCAAACAAAUCAAAGGGCAAUAGUUGUAACACUUGAAAAAAUUAGUCAUGUUGCAAAAGAAUUGAAACCAAAGGUGAAAAGAGGCAACCCAAAGGAAAGAAGAAGCAAACAAAUUAAUGAAAUAAAAGAUUCGGUCUACGAAUAUAAAGAUGUGGUUGAAGUCAAGUGAAAAGGUACAUCUCAGUAACAAGAGCAGAGAAAUGUCCCAACAGUUGAGCCACAAAUUAUUUGGAAAUUAAUUGUAGUCCCAAGUGGAUGUUUAUAUCAUGUCACUUCAUGCUUGUUUGUAUCAUGUCACCUCAUGCUUUAAUAAUGUUUGUUUGCUACUUUUUCUUUUAAUAAUGUAACAUGUGACUUUUGGCUUUUAUUGAGAAAAUCUUAUCCUCCAAUCACUCAACAUGCUUUAAGCAUUGAAUGUGGGGCAUAACAAAAGAAGAAAAAAAAUAACAUGCAUCGGACUUUACAUUUAGUUUUCAUUCAAACUUAAAAACGUAGAAUCAUUAACAAUAAUAAAAUAUAAAAGUACUUGCAUGAAGAAUAAACUUUUUUAUAAAAAUCUUUCCUACAGGAAAUGGUAAAAGAGUGGGUUGUCGACUCUGGGCACCAAUGCAUGUCUAUCUUUUUUUCUUUUUCUCUUUGUCUAUAAAAAUACUACACACUCUUCAUUUUCUUCUUUCAAAGGGCAUUCAUUUCAAAUGACAACUGCAUCUUACUAUUGCGAGAACCUUGCAAGAAACAACCCCCAUCCCCCUUCCGCCCAAUCAAGUACCAGUUGCUUCGCAGCGCGGGUAGCCUCAAAUCAAAAAUCUUCUCUACUCAUAAUUUUUUUUUAUUUUCUUGUUUUAUAUAAAAAUUUAAGAUGAAGUUUUAUAUUAUGUUUAACUGAUUUUUCAUAUUUUUUAAGGUUGUCUCAUAUGCUUCUUUCCACCAAACAAUUCAAAAAUCAGAUACAUUUUUUUUGUUUCUUCAAUAAAUUAUGAAACUUCUGAAUUUUUUAAAAUAAGUUAAAUUUCUAUUCGAUAAUACUCAGUAAAAAUCAACCUGUUAUUUACAAAUAUAUUAUAACAUAUGCAAGCAUUUCAAUCAUCUAUAUAAUUUUAAAUAUUAUCUAUAUAUAUAUAUAUUAGUUUUAUGAAUUUAUGCAUGUUAUUGAUAUAAAAAUAUUUUUUUAUAAUAAAUUUAUAUUUGUAUAGUUAAUUAAUAUUUUACAAAAUGAAAUAGUAAAUAUAAUUUUUAUUCGUUCAUAUAUGUACUAUAACACAUGCAUGUAUUUUAAUCUUAUGUAUAAUUGGUUUUUUAAUUUUUUAUCUUCAGUUUUCUCUUAUAUUAAUAUUUUAUUAAAUAUUAUGGUACAUAAUUAAUUUCUAUAGCGAAUUAUAAAUACUUUAAUAGGUAUAACAUUUGUUUAAAUCUUAUGUAUUGCAAUUUAAUUACAGUCAAUAAUUAUUACCCAUCCGUUUUGAUUUACUUGUUAUUUUAGAAAAUCACGCAGAUUAAGAAAAUUAAUAUUUUUUCUGUUAUACCCUUAUCAAUCAAAUUUAUUUACAAGUUUAGUUAUCUAUUUAAUAUUUUAAAUUAGUUGUAAGAAAUAAUUUUCUUGUCGAAUAUUUUGGCUCUUAGCAUUCUUCACCAAAUUAUCUUUAACUAUUAGUUCAAUGAAUUAAUUAAAUUGACUACAUACUCCUGUUAACAUCAAUAUAUUUAGAGGGAAACUAAAAUUUUUACGUUUAAUUAUACGCAAAAACAAAACAUAGUGGAGGCAAGUAAACAGUUCAAAACUUUUGACAAUCAGUAUAUAAACAAAUCGUGCGAUAACAAAAGUAUCAAUGGCUAAUUCUGGUCAAAACCUUUUUACAUUCAACAAAUAAAAAGCAUUAUUUUGAUUUAAAAAAUCGUGUGAUAACAAAAGUAUCAGUGCCAUUUUCUGUCAAAAAUAAUUACUGAAAAAAUAUAAAUAGGCUUGUUAUCUUUAGAUUAUAAACAGUCUGGGCAAUUUUAACAUACAUGUUGACCACAUUGGAAAAGAUAAGAAAAAUAUUUCAUUGUAGAAAAUGGCGGUUGAGAUGAUGUUAAACGAAGAUUUUUUGAAGUAUAGUUAGUUAAUUUAAAACAUUUUGUUAUUUUAUAUUAAAGUUAGAAUAGUUAUUUUCUUGUAUAAAUCAUAUUGAAAAACGAGAAUGACGCUUAAUUUGUGACAAAAAUCAAACCUAAAACGACAAGUAAAUCGAAAUGAUGGCAGUAAUAUAUAAUCAGAAAAAGAAACAUAUAAGAACGUAAAAUUAUGAAAAAAAAAUUGUAGGGUAUUUUUCAACAAACCAUUGUGAAAUAUAAAAAAUGAGUGGGUAUUGAAUUAUUAUGUAGACGAUAGAAACGAUGACGGGGAAGAGAGAGCAGAUAAUGUUGAGUGUAUGAAAUGUUGAAAUCAUUGUGGAUAAUGUUAGACUAUCUACAAUUGUGGGUAAAUUUACCACCCUCAUUUUUUUUUAUUUUUUAACACUCUAUAUCAUUUUCUCGUUUUUCCACCUAAUUAUUCAACAACAAUUUCAUUUUUAACCAUACAAUAGUUUUGUUUAAUAAAAUUCAACAUCAUACCCCAUAAUUUUUAAUUCAUAAGUUUUUAUUGUUUAUAAUUUAAACUAUAUUAAUAAUUUGAUUAUAAUUAACUUAAAUAAUUAAAGUAUCAAAGUUUUUACUAAUUUUUAUUUAUAUCCUUCACUAAGUUUUGAAUAUCAAUAGUACAACUAAUACUAUUAAAAUUCAACUAUGUUCUAAUUAACACACAAAAAAAAACUGCAAUAUAGUGAAAACAAUUAUUUUCUGGUGUCCAAAUCAAGGAAACCAAGUCUUUAUCUAUAGAAUAUAAAAAGUUAUGAAUUUUGAUAUAACUUAUUUUAAAAAACAUAUUAUUUGAUAUACAAUAAUUGAUCUUAAAAACUAUGGUGAAAUAAAAAUCUAUAAAAUCUAAACAACUACUAAUAUAAUGACAUGUGUACCAAUUCACUCAUUUUAAUUUUUUUUUAAAAACUAAAAAUUCAUUUUUGAUAACUUUUUAUUUAUUUAAGUGUGUCUUAUAGUGAUCAAGAUAACUUUGUGGGUUCUACUGUUGGCUCUUCCAACAGGUUGAAUCCACAUCAUAUUUUUAAGUUUUUCAACAGAUUCAUUGUGGGUAGUUUUACACCAUUAACAAUGAUUACAUGAUUCAACACCCUAUUUUCAUCUUUUUAACAUUCACAUCAUCUUCUCUCUCUCUUCCACACAAUCAUUCAACAACCACUUUAUUUUUGUAACAUCUACCAUAUUUUUGUUUAAUAAAUUCAACACUUUACCCACUAUUUUUUAAUUCAUAUUUUUAUCCUUUACAAUAUACUAACUAUUUAUUAAUAAUUUUUUAUUAUAAUUAAAAUAAAUAUUUAAAAGGACAAAACAAAUUACCAUUUUUUUCAAGUUGGAUAUUCAUAUAUUUUAAAAAAUAUAUUAUUAAAACAAAUGAAAUCAUUAAAAUUACUCAUACCACCAAGAGGUAUUGGCAUAGAUAAUUUAGAAAAAUCAGUUGCUACAAUAAUAUUUCAAAUAGAAAAAAAAUAAGGUGUUUGAGAAAAAUAAAUCAUCAUUGAUCGAUGAUAUGGAAGAUAGUUUGGAAAAAUGAAGACAUGAAGAAAUUUGGUGAAAAACCAUAAUUUGGUAUAUUUUUUGGUUAAUUGAAAAUUUAGUUUUGAAAUUGAUAAUUUUGGGGAUUUGGGUAAUUACAAAGAAAAUUAGAAGAAUUUCAGAUGUUAAAAGAAUUAUUAUCUCGAUCCAUUUAUCAAAAAGAAGAUUAAAAAACCAAAAUAGUUUAUUAGAGUGAAAAAUGACGUUUUAUUUUUUAUACCCAAAUGAAAUGAAAUUGAUCUCUAUUUAUAGAUCAUAACAAAUCACGAGUUUUUGUACAAUAUUUUUUAAAUGUUAUAACACCAAAAUAGUUGAUUAUAGUGAAAAUGACGUUUUAUUUUCUGUACCAAAAUUAAAUGAAAUUGGUCUCCAUUUAUAGAUCAUACAAAAUCACGAGUUUUUGUAUAAUAUCUUUUAAAUAUUUUAGUAUAAAAUAAAUGAGUUCAAAUUAUUGGGUAAUAUUUUUGAAAAAAAAAAGAAUCUGGAAAGCCACUGAGAAUCAGAUAUGUGUCUCUAUCUAAAUACAUCAUGAGUGUUAUACACGCGUCCAACAUUUUUUCUAAUUAAAAUUUAACAAGUGUCAAAGCUGCCCCAGAAAGAAAAAAAUUGGUUGAAUACUUUCAACUUUUAUGAAUCCACGUGUUUUAUUCCCAAAAUCAACACUCUGGUUGCACGUUGUUCAACAGUUGAAUUAAUAACUUAACAUGUUCACUUUGGAUAUUCUUAUAACAUUGGUUUCAUAUCUUGUUCUACAUCGUUGAUUCAUCACUUAUUCAAUAUUAACUUCCUGGUAGUCCAUUAAAUUAAGUCUCUAGUUUUUUUUGCAUAAAAUUUGAUAAAAUUUUGUGUCUAGUUACGACACAAUGUUCACAAAACUUUAUGAAUGUAUUACACAUACGAGCACAUUUAUGUUUUUCUUACAGAUAAAGACACAUUCCACUUAAGAAGCACAUUGUGUUUUAAUCAACGAGAUUUUUGACAUAUUUACCCUUGUUCUUGAAACAGAGUGUAGACGUUCCGUUAAUAAGACUACCUUUGUUUUAUUCCCAAAAUCAACACCCUGGCUGCACGUUGUUCAACAGUUGAAUUAAUAAUUUAACAUGUUCACUUUGGAUAGUCUUAUAACACUGGUUUCAUAUCUUGUUCUACAUCGUUGAUUCAUCACUUAUUCAAUAUUAACUUUCUGAUUAGUCCAUUAAAUUAGGUCUCUAGUUUAUUUUGCAUAAAAUUUGAUAAAAUUUUGUGUCUAGUUACAACACAAUGUUCACAAAACUUUAUGAAUGUAUUAAACAUACGAGCACAUUUGUGUUUUUUUUACAGAUAAAGACACAUUCCACUUAAGAGGCACAUUGUGUUUUAAUCAACGAGAUUUUUGACAUAUUUAUCCUUGUUCUUGAAACAGAGUGUAGACGUUCUGUUAAGAAGAAAUGAGAACAAUAAGUAACUAGUUAUAGCACUUGGGUAUUAAUAUUUUAUAUAAUUAUUAUAUACUACACUGUUUUAUGUAACGGAAAACAAACCAAAUGAAAAAGACAUAGUUUAUCUUUAUUAUUAUCAUUUAUUCUACCUCUUUAUAUUUUGUUUUACUUUAUUUUAAAUUUAAAGAUAUAUAAAAAAUGCUUGAUGUAAUAAAUUAUGUUCUUUAUUCUCUAUAAUUUGUCAUCAACUUUGAUAUUUUUAUUUUAAAUUUAUACAUAAAAUAGUAUGGACUAAAACAUGGACAAAGGAGUUGUGGAUAUGAACAUUCUGAUUGUGUACAUUCCAAAAAUGACUAAAUAGUUUUAUAUGUUAGCAAUUUGAAUAUAUAAAAACAUAAAUUUUUGUUGGAGAAACCAUGUGAAGUGAAUUACGUAUUUUAUGGAAGAGAAAUAUGGUCAUAUAUGUUGUGGAUAAAUAAAGAAUAUGGGUUCAUACAUUAAGAAGACCAUUCUGCAUAUUUAAGAAUUUUGAGGUAAAAGCUUAAAUAAUCAAAAGACAAGGGACCAACAAUGCAAAAAGAUAAAACAGCACCAUUGUUGGUCUCGAGACCUCUGGCUUCUAAUCAACUUGGGCGAGUGAGGCAGGAUGGACUCCGACUCCUUUCACCAACAUGUUAUCUCGGCUAUACUUUUUCGUAUAAACCGCAAAUAAAAACCGAUGUUGUUCUCCGUUAUCUCUUUCUCUCUCUUGUUACAGAUAUGGCUUCUCGCCACUGUUUCUCUCUUUCUCUAGUUUCUCAAUCUUCAACUGAAGCAAUCUGAAAAACCAUAAUAUGAAGAAUACUUGGGUAAAUGAUAUCUUGCAUAUUUACAUUGUCUUAUCCAUUUAUUCAUGUGCAUUUUCAUCAUAUAGAUUAGGAUUUAGCCAUGUCUAGGUUGCAUUUUGCAUACAUAUGUCUCUAUCAGGUAUUUGAGUACCACAUGGAGUUUCUGGAGACAUUUGGGUGCAUUUGGAGCUCAAAGGAGGUGAUUAGAGUGGUCUUUGGACGAGCACUGCCUGAAGCGACUUCUCGGAGCGACGGCAUGAGGUCGCUGUGCACCACAUCCCGGAGCGACUCAUCCAGAGCGACUGCACAAAGUCGCUCGCGUUUUCACAUUGAGGUUGUAGAAAAAUCCCUUGUAGAUUUCAAAAAGAAAGAGUUAAAGUUCUUAGGAUCUAUUGGUGAGAGAUGUGAGUUGGGUUUGACAUUUGGGAAUGAUUGUGUAAUUGUAUGUUUGGGAAAAGGGUAGAAUAAUGGAGAUUGAGCAUUGUAUGCAUGAGUUGGUCCCUUUCUUAGAUAUAUUAUGUGCAAUGUCAAGGCUACUUGUUUUGAGAGUAAACCACCUUAAAGAUCAUAUGUUUUGAACCUCUUGAAUCACUUGAAUAAAAGCCUUCCCUUUCCCAACCAAAUGACUUGGACCAACGGACCAUUUGCAAGAAUUCACCUGAUGUUUUCUGCUUAAUGAAUGUGAGAGUUGGUUGAUUUGAAUGUGUGGAUGCUUGAUGAUGAGUGUAGGGACAAAAGGAGUUGAGAUAGGCCUAGAGAAGCUAGAGUGUAAUAAGAGAGUGUGCUAAUUAUGUUUGCUAGUUGUGUUUCUUUUGGCUAUGAGCUCCCACCUUCAAACCUCUCUCCUUAUGAGUUCUAGAAAGUUCACUUGAGGACAAGUAAAAGAACAAGUUUGGGGGAGUUGAUAUCUUGCAUAUUUACAUUGUCUUAUCCAUUUAUUCAUGUGCAUUUUCAUCAUAUAGAUUAGGAUUUAGCCAUGUCUAGGUUGCAUUUUGCAUACAUAUGUCUCUAUCAGGUAUUUGAGUACCACAUGGAGUUUCUGGAGACAUUUGGGUGCAUUUGGAGCUCAAAGGAGGUGAUUAGAGUGGUCUUUGGACGAGCACUGCCUGGAGCGACUUCUCGGAGCGACGGCAUGAGGUCGCUGUGCACCACAUCCCGGAGCGACUCAUCCAGAGCGACUGCACAAAGUCGCUCGCGUUUUCACAUCCGGAGACACACAUUUUGAUCUCGGAGCGACCUUCCAGAGCGACGUGCUGAAGUCGCUCCCGAAGCUUGGAGCGACCUUACCAGAGCGACAGGGAGAAGUCGCUCGCCAUUUUGGUUCUCGGAAACACGAAAUCGCUCUCGGAGCGACCUCUCGCAGCGACCCAGCGAGGUCGCUCCCGAAGCCUAGAGCGACGUGCUGGAGCGACUUGCCGAGGUCGCUGCGCGUCGCCUAUCUGCUCGAAUUAAUGUUUUCUCAAGGGCCUUUUUGUCAUUUUAUUAUGCACGUUUUUUAUUCUGAAAACCUAUGUUUUAAUACUCUGUAAGCCACCAAGAGGGGAUUAUCUUUGUUCUUAGAAAAACCACCAAAAACCUUUGGAAAGUCAUCUCUUUGAAUCAAUUGAUCAGUUUAUUAUUGAGAAUUCUGUGUUCUUAUCUAUUUUUCCUGUGUUUCUCUACAUGAUUAAUCUGAAAUCCAACAUGGGUUUAAGAGGAAUCAUGGAGAUUAGUGAGUAAUCCCUUUUGAAUUCAUGGGUUAGGGAGAUUGAGGGUGAUUAGGUUAGAACUAGGAUGUUUUAGUGUAGAUCAUUCAUAUUUCCUUGCUAGUUGAGUGAGCAUAAUGCAUCUUCUGAGUUGGCCACUCAGUAGUUGAAUCUUAGGCAUUUCCCCCCGAAAGGUGUUCGAGGAAAUGCCCGAGACAACUCUUUUUAGCUUUUAGCAUACUUUGCCAAAGACAUUUGUUGUUAGAGGUGCUAAGAUAGCCAUUGGACUUGCUGGUUAUGAUUGCUUUCAUAUUAUUCAACCAAAGACAUUUGAUGUUUGAAUUGUGUUAAGUAAAUGAACAUUCAUCUAGACAUAGAGUUUGUUUAGGAUUGUGUCCAAGCUUAAGGUUAAUAGAUUGAUUGAUCGUUUGCCAUCUUUAGUUCGAAACUUGAUCACCCGAGGUCUAAUCCCUAUAUCCAUGAGUUCUCUUUUCCAAUAGUUAAGAAAGUAUCAUUUAGUUAUUUCUUUUAAUUAGUCAUAGUUUAAAAACCCAUCUAAAUCAUUGAUUGCACUUAGAUUAAGUGAUUACUUGCAUUCUCGGUGCUUUGAUAUCUCUCAGAACUGGUUCGACAAUCAUUUAUACUACAGCAUUUGUCUUAGGAGCCUUGAAAACUCCUAACAUCAAAUUGGCGCCGUUGCCAAAUUCUGAGUAGAUUUAAACAUUGAGAUUUAGUCAAUUGCUUGAGACUAAGUCAUUUUUAUUUUCUUUUGUUACUGACUCUUCUUCACCUCCCUUUAAUCUACAGGUGUAUGAACUUGCGGAGCAGGGGUCCAUCAAACCUAGUUCCAAGAGCAGCAGACAUCAGAGCUUUAGAGAGAGAGUGUGCUAAAAGAGAAGAGAAGAAGAACAUCAGGCUCAAUUGCAGAGACUGAACACUGACAUGGGAGACGUUCAUCAAGAAGAUGCAGGCGUCAAUGGCGCUAACAACAAUGGUCCACCUAACCAACAGCGAGCAGCUCGACCCAUUGGCACUUACGACCGUCCAAACAUUCAUGGUCAUAGAUUGGGAAUCCGAGCACCCGCUGUGGCAGCCAACAACUUUGAGAUCAAGUCAGGACUCCUCAACGUGAUUGAGAACAACAAGUAUCAUGGCUUGGCUCUAGAGGAUCCAUUUGAUCACUUGGACAGGUUCGACAGCUACUGUGGGUUGUCAAAAACCAAUGGUGUGUCCGAAGAUGCUUUAAAGCUCAAGCUAUUCCCUUUCUCUUUGGGGGAUAAGGCACGUCAGUGGGAGAAGUCUCUACCCAGCGACUCCAUUACCACUUGGGAUGACUGCAAGAAAGCAUUCUUGGAGAAGUUCUUCUCUACUUCAAGAACUGCUAAGCUGAGAAACGAGAUCUCCAGCUUUCAACAGAAGGGCUUGGAAGGUUUCAGUGAAGCCUGGGAGAGAUUCAAGGGCUACCAAGCUCAAUGCCCACACCAUGGUUUCUCUAAGGAGAGCUUGCUGAGCACAUUCUACCGUGGUGCUCUCCCUAAGUACAGGGCCAGACUGGAUACAGCUAGUAAUGGGUUCUUCUUGGGGAGAACUGAGGAGGAUGCAGAGGAGCUGGUUGACAACAUGGUUAAGAGUGAUGCAGUCUACAGUGGAGACCACGACAGAGGCAGUAGAACUGAUGAUAAGCAGACGAGGAAGGAAUUGAAGGCUCUACAGGAUAAGAUAGACAUCCUCAUUGCUGAUAAAGCUACCCAAGAGCAGCUGCACUUUGUUGGCAACCCAAGCCAAGAGACACCAGUUGUUGUCCAUGAAGUUGAGGGUUUGGAAGGUCAGGAAGAGCUGUGUUUCAUCAACAACAAUGGUAGCUGGUACAAGAAAGAACCCAACUUUCAGUACAACAACUACCAACAGAAAUCCUAUUCCAACAACCAACAGAGUGGUUAUCAGCCUCGGAACAAUCAGCAAGGCAGCUAUCAACCUCAGCAAAACCCUCCUCCUGGAUUCAACAACAAGGGCAACCAUUCUUCCCAACAACAAUCUAAUCCCUCUACCUCCACUCCUCAAGUCAGCAGCACUGAUGCUCUACUGAAACAAAUCCUGGAGUCUCAAACAAGAAGUGAGAAGCAUGUUGGCUAUGAGUUGAAGAAUCUUCACUCAAAGAUUGAUGGGAGCUACAAUGAGCUCAACAACAAGUUCAGAGCUUUGGAGAACCAGUUUGCUGCCAUGAACACUCAACAAAAUCGCCAACAAGGUUCUCUACCUGGAAAAUCUGAGCAAAACCCCAAGGAAACCAUGAAAGCUAUCACUCUCAGGAGUGGUAAGGAGUUACCUCAGAGAACUCUCACCAAGGAUGCUGAGAAACAAAGUGAGGGGGUUGCCAUCACCAUAGAUGAUGAAGUGGUGAUUGUUGAUGAGAAGAUCAAUGACGAGAUCUUGGAAAAGAUAGUGGAAGCAAAAGGAAAAGGAAAGGUUGGAGAAGAGAAGAAAACAGUUAAAGAUGGUGAAGUUGUCACUCCUGCAAGUGAAAACUCUUUUGUUCCUCCUGCCUAUGAACCCAAGCUUCCAUUCCCAGGUCGAUUCAAGAGGCAGCUGCUAGAGAAGUACAAAGCUUUGUUUGACAAGCAAAUGAGUGAAGUCCAGGUCACAAUGCCCAUUAUUGACGCUUUCAUGCUGAUCCCUCAGUACAGCAAGUUCCUCAAAGAUGCUGUAGCUGCAAAGAAGAAAGAGAUGGAGGGCAUGGUGAUUCUCACUCAUGAGUGCAGUGCUAUCAUUCAGAGACUGGUCAUUCCAAAGAAGCUAGAAGAUCCAGGAUGCUUCACAUUACCUUGUGCUCUUGGACCUAUGGUAUUUGAUAGAUGUCUCUGCGAUUUGGGAGCUAGUGUCAGCUUGAUGCCCCUAUCUGUUGCUAAGAAGCUGGGUUUCACUCAGUACAAGAAGUGUAGACUUUCUCUGGUAUUGGCUGAUCGUUCAGUGAAGUACCCUGUGGGUAUCUUAGAGGACCUCCCAGUGAUGGUUGGAAAUUAUGAGAUCCCUACAGACUUUGUGGUGCUUGAAAUGGGUGAAGAAGCUCAAGAUCCUUUAAUCCUUGGAAGACCUUUCUUAGCCACAGCAGGAGCUAUUGUUAAUGUUAAAGAAGGCAAGAUUGAUCUCCAUCUGGGUAAAGGGCACGUUCUGCAUUUCGACAUCAAGGAAGUAAUGAGGAGGCCAACAGUUCAAGGACAAGUGUUCUACAUCGAAGAGAUGGAUGCCCUUGCUGAUGAACUCCUUGAAGAGUUGUCACUAGAGGACCCUCUACAGCAUGCUUUAACUGUAGAGAAGGAGACUGAGGUGAUUGAGAACCUGGAGAGUACUGCCUAUGGGAUGAUGCUGGAUUCACACCAGGCGUUUUUCAGUAAGGACCAGUACGAGGAGCUUCCACAGAUGGUUCACCAACAAGUCUCAGUCACUCAACAAGAGGACAACCAGCAGGAUGACUGGAGUGAACUUAAGGCACCUAAAGUGGAGCUUAAACCUCUUCCCCAUGGUGUAAGGUAUGCAUUCCUUGGUCCUAAUGAAACUUACCCUGUCAUUGUGAGUAGUGAACUUACUGAAAAUGAGCUAUCUGAACUUUUGAAAACACUUAAAAGAUUUAGAAAGGCAAUAGGUUACUCACUAGAUGACAUCAAGGGGAUAUCACCCUCUUUGUGCAUGCAUAGGAUACAUCUUGAGGAUGAAUCAAUGACUUCUAUCGAGCAUCAAAGAAGGUUAAAUCCUAACCUGAAGGAUGUUGUAAAGAAAGAGAUUCUUAAACUCCUAGAUGCUGGUGUUAUUUACCCUAUCUCAGAUUCUAAAUGGGUAUCACCUGUGCAUGUUGUACCAAAGAAAGGUGGUAUCACUGUGAUCAAGAAUGACAAGGAUGAAUUGAUACCAACAAGAACCAUCACAGGUCAUAGAAUGUGCAUUGAUUACCGAAAACUAAACUCUGCAUCUAGAAAGGAUCAUUUUCCACUACCAUUUAUUGAUCAGAUGCUUGAGAGACUUGCAAAUCACCCAUUCUAUUGUUUCCUUGAUGGGUACUCAGGAUUUUUCCAAAUCCCCAUACAUCCCAAUGAUCAAGAGAAAACGACAUUCACAUGUCCCUAUGGUACCUUUGCAUAUCGAAGAAUGCCAUUUGGACUAUGUAAUGCUCCAGCCACCUUUCAAAGGUGCAUGAUGUCAAUUUUCUCUGAUCUGAUUGAGGAUGUUGUGGAGGUAUUCAUGGAUGAUUUCUCUGUCUACGGAUCUUCGUUUUCUGCUUGUUUGUCAAAUUUGUGCAGGGUCCUACAGAGAUGUGAAGACACCAACCUUGUGCUGAAUUGGGAGAAGUGUCACUUCAUGGUCAAGGAAGGGAUUGUGCUAGGACACAAGAUUUCAGAGAAGGGGAUUGAGGUGGAUAAAGCCAAAAUCGAUGUUAUGGUUGGUCUGCCUCCACCAAAGACAGUGAAAGACAUCCGGAGUUUUCUUGGUCAUGCUGGAUUCUACAGGAGGUUCAUCAAGGAUUUCUCCAUGAUCACUAGACCUUUGACCAGACUGCUGUGCAAGGAAGCUACCUUCAGUUUUGAUGUAGAAUGUCUACAAGCUUUCAAGAAGCUGAAAGGUGAACUCGUUAGUGCCCCAAUUGUCCAGCCACCUGAUUGGGAUCUCCCUUUUGAGAUCAUGUGUGACGCCAGUGACUAUGCUGUGGGAGCUGUUCUGGGGCAGAAGAAAGAUGGCAAAACCCAUGUGAUCUAUUAUGCCAGCCAAACCCUCAAUGAUGCCCAGAUGAAGUAUGCCACAACAGAGAAGGAGAUGCUGGCAAUUGUUUUUGCCUUUGAGAAGUUCAGGAGCUACUUGGUUGGGUCUAAAGUCAUUGUCUACACAGAUCAUGCCGCCUUGAGACACCUUUUGGCCAAGAAGGAUGCAAAACCCAGGCUUUUGAGGUGGAUCCUUUUGCUCCAAGAGUUUGAUAUGGAGAUCAAGGACAAACCUGGAGUUGAGAAUGGAGUAGCUGAUCAUUUGUCCAGGUUGAGGGUAGAGUCUGGUAUCCCUAUUGACGAAGGACUUCCUGAGGAGCAGAUCAUGGCUAUCGAAGCAGUGAUAGCAGUUUGUGAGACUGGUAGGAAGCUGGAAGAAGUCAAAGCAACAGAGGAGAAGGAACCUUGGUAUGCUGAUUUGGUGAACUACCUAGCCACAGGAAGAGAACCUUUGAAUCUUGUAGGGUAUGCCAAGAAGAAGUUCUACAAGGAUGUGAAAAGAUAUUACUGGGACGAACCCUACCUCUACAUUCUCUGCAAAGAUCAGCUUUAUAGGAGAGUGGUUGCAAAUGAGGAGAUUGAUGGGAUCCUUGCACAGUGUCAUGGAUCAUCCUAUGGAGGUCACUUUGCCACCUUCAAGACAGUUGCAAAAGUAUUACAAGCUGGAUUCUGGUGGCCACACAUGUUCAAGGAUACACAAGACUUUGUUUCGAAGUGUGAUUCUUGCCAAAGAAGAGGAAACAUCACCAAGAGGAAUGAGAUGCCUCAAAAUCCAAUCCUUGAAGUUGAAGUGUUUGAUGUCUGGGGUAUUGACUUCAUGGGACCAUUUCCAUCAUCUUUUGGCAACAAAUAUAUCCUUGUGGCUGUUGAUUAUGUCUCCAAAUGGGUGGAAGCCAUUGCAAGCCCCACCAAUGAUGCUAGAGUUGUAAUCAAGAUGUUCAAGAGCAUCAUCUUCCCAAGGUUUGGAGUUCCAAGAGUUGUAAUCAGUGAUGGAGGUUCCCACUUCAUUAACAAACUGCUUGAGGGACUUCUCAAGAAGAACGGUGUGAAGCACAAGGUGGCAACUCCUUAUCAUCCCCAAACAAGUGGCCAAGUUGAGAUUUCUAACAGGGAGAUCAAAUCUAUCCUGGAGAAGAUUGUGGGGAUUACAAGGAAGGAUUGGUCUAAUAAGCUUGACGAUGCACUUUGGGCUUAUAGGACAGCGUACAAGACACCACUGGGUACCACACCUUUCAACCUAGUGUAUGGGAAAGCUUGCCAUUUGCCAGUGGAGCUUGAGUACAAGGCACUAUGGGCAAUAAAGUUGCUGAACUUUGACAUCAAGAGUGCCAAGGAGAAAAGGCUCUUUCAGCUACAUGAGCUUGAUGAGAUAAGAUUGGAUGCUUUCGAGAACUCAAGAAUCUACAAGGAGAAGACUAAGGCUUUCCAUGACAAGAACAUCCUGAAGAGAGAGUUUAAAGAAGGAGACCAAGUUCUUCUCUACAACUCUAGGCUGAAGUUGUUUCCAGGAAAGCUUAAGUCAAGGUGGUCCGGUCCUUUCAAGGUCAAGGAGGUUAGACCAUAUGGAGCAAUAGUUUUGUGGAGCACUGAUGGAAGAGACUUCACAGUCAAUGGACAAAGGGUUAAGCUCUACAUGGCUACUGCACCAGAGGAAGAUGGGGUUUCAACUCCACUGUCUGAUCCUACCCCGGCCUAAUCUAAAAGGAGGCAAAGUCAAGCUCGGGACUUAAAACAAGCUCACUUGGGAGGAAGUCCCAUGCGUAUCCUUGUACAUAUUGCAUUGGUAUUUCCAUUUUUCAUCUUAUUGCAUAAAAAAAAAAAAGAGAGAGAAGUUGUGUGCAGGUGCUUGAUCGGUUCAUUUUGAGCAGGAGUCGUGCGUGGGAGCGAGGUCUCACAGCGACACCUCAAGGUCGCUCCAGCUGGGAGCGAGGUUUCGAGAGCGACACUCCAUGGUCGCUCGCGUUUUCGUCGUCGGAUCAAGAAAAAAUCGCCUCAGAGCGAGGUCUCGGAGCGAGGCCGAAGGGUCGCUCCAGCUGGGAGCGACAUUAUGGGAGCGACACCUCGGAGUCGCUCGCGUUUUCGACGAAACGGAGCUCAAAAACUGACCCGGAGCGACGUCCUAGAGCGACACCUUGAAGUCGCUCCAGCCCAGAGCGAGGUUUCUAGAGCGACACUUCAAGGUCGCUCGCGGUUUUGUCGAAACACGACGCGAGGAAACGACUCGGGAGCGACCUCUCCCAGCGACACCCUCACGUCGCUCCCGAACCGGUCCAGGUAAGUUUCCUAACUCUAAACCCCGGUUUAAUUCAAGUAAACCGACCCUAACCACCCUAAACCGAACCGGACGACCCUAAACCUACCCCAACCCCCGCGACUCCUAUCUCUCUCACUCUCCCCUCCUCUCACAAACUCACAAACUCUCUCAAACUCACCCACACCAAAAAUCCCAAAACCUUCUCAAUUCUCACCCAAAUCAACUAGUUCUUGUUUCUAAACCAAGCUUUCGCCCCUGUAGCCUAUUCCUCACCACCCAUUCACCAUUUCCUUUCAUCCAGAGCAAGGUAUUGAGUUUUUAAAUUCAAAUUCGUAGGUCCAUGAACCCUAGAAUUUGAAAGUCGAAAUUUGGUCACUUUCUUGCUAGAUUGUGGUGAAAUAGACUAGGGAAAGUUUAUCUAUCAAGUUGGGUUGUUGAAUUAAUGGUGAAAUUGAGUUUAAUUUGCACUUUGGCAAAAUUAGGGUUCAUGGAAUUAGGGAUUUUCGAAUUUGACCUUAAUUGGGUGAGUUUGUGGGUGAACUAGAUGUGUUAAGGUGUUACAAGAGUGAGAAUUGUUGCAUUGUGUUGAACUUGAGUUUAAAUUGAUAAUUCAUUUGUUAAGUUCACUUUUGCAAUUUUCUCUUGCAAAAUCCUGUUUUUCUUUACUUCCAACUACUUAUCCCUUUUCAAGUUUUUACUUCUUCAGGUGAAAAUGGUUAAGAAGACAAAGGGAAAGUUGGAAGCUGAGAAGCAAGAAGCUGAAAGAACAGAGUUUGCAUUAAGAGGAAAAGCUUUAUCCUGCGAGCCAACUGGGUCAGGGACGCAGAGAACCGUUCGACAGCAGACUUUGGCUGCAAGGAAAUCGCAAGAACAAGAGAAGAGGGCUGGGAAAAGUGUAGCAGUUCCCACUCAUGAGGAGAGUGAAACUGAGAGUGCUGAUGAGCAGGCACCUACGAAGAAAGCCAAGAUGUCCAAAGGAAAAGGGGUUGCUGUUGAUCGAGACAGGGCAAAAACUCCAUCUGUGGAGGAGCUGUAUGAUCACUUGAAGAAUGGGUCACUUGGGCUCCAACCAGGUUCGCCGACCUCGAUUUGCUGAAGGAGUUGGGCCUAGAAUCCGAUAUUGAGGCGAUGCUGGGACAUUUGAAGAUGCCAAAACUCCUCACCAUGGCUUAUCCUUUCUACAAGGAUGUCACUUGUCAGUUCCUAUCCUCUCUUGUGGUCACUUACCACGACACGGCGCAUGUGAGGCAAGGAUGGGGAAAAAUCACGUUCAAGGUCAAUGGAAGGGAAUACAACAUGAACUUCAAGGACAUUGGGAGGGUCAUGGGGUUCCAAGACCUAGAAGACCACUCACUUCCCAAGUGUGAGAACCUCCCCACAGAGCUUUGGAAGUUGAUCACUGGAAACAGGCACUCUACCGGGGCUGACAAGAACUCACACAUCCGACACCCGUCUGUACGCUACCUCCACAGAUUGCUAGUCCAUGCUUUCUACCCACGGAAGCAAGCUGGUAAUGUUACUGAGGAAGACAUGCGACUGCUCUGUCCGGCUAUCCGUCCUUACGCUCAACCUGGAGUGUUACCCCUUCCCAGCACUGAUAUCUAUGCUACCUUUGGGAUGGUCAGUUUCUUUGUGGGCCGUCUCGAACACUACAGAGACUGGGCGUGGUACACCACUGAUUCGCGCCCAAAGAUGGGGAUAGGCGGAAUGAUCACACCACUGCUCCAAUUUCUGAAUGUUCCCUUGGGAAAGGACGCAGCGGGGCCUAGGUUCAUUGAUGGCACCUACUUGAGGAUUGCCACCUAUUUCAGUGGGAUGUAUGGGAAGGACUACGUCUACCACUACUACUUGCAGGGCAAGCCAGUCGAGGUGGUUCUUCCAAACCGGAACCUGACGAGUUUAGAGAUACCAGGAGCUGUCAGCUUCAACAUUCCCCAGGAGUACUUUCUCGGAGAACACGGGCCUCUCGAUCCAAUUCAAGCAGCUUCAUCAAGGAGAAGGAGUGUCCCUACGCAACCUGACCCGCCUGUUGCAGACACGUCUGAGCAUAUCUAUGGACCUCCGCGCUACUACUUCAAGCCCCAUGACGGAGUCCUUCCCCCUGGAGCUCUCCGUGAUGCUCAUGACCACAUUGGUCGUCUCCAGAGGUGGAACAAAGCUCAGGACAGAACGAUAGAAAAGCUGAAGGAUAAGUGCAAGGCGCUCAGCAAGACUGUGAAGAAGCAGGCAAAGACUUCAGCCAAGUUCAUGAAGAAAGUAGCUGAUGUCUUAACUAGGGGAGGAAUAGCUGGAUGUAGCUCAGCCGAUUUCGCUUUCGCGAACACCUCAAACCCCCAGCCCCCACCCCCGCCUGAUGCUCUUGGCUUCCCCCUCACUGCUGCGCAGCUUCAGCGUAAGUGGAGGAACCCACCCACUCAACCUUCCACUUCCGGCAACAAAUCCCCAUCCCUCGCUUCUUCUGACAGUGAGCACGAGAUUGACGAGGUUGAGAGCCAGCCAUGGUAUGGAGGCUCCGGUUCAGCAUCCGGUGGUUACUACACCACCUUCCCUCCUGACGACGACGAUGCUGGGGCAUCUGCCCCCACCUAUUAUCCAUAGGAGGUACUUCUUUCUCUCCCUUGUAUAUACCAUCUCAUUUUUUUUUUUUUGCAUAUUAGUUUUCUUCUCGGUAUCUCCUUCUUUCUUUGACAACACAGAGACUGUGUAACUCAAGUUUGGGGGAGGUACCAAGCAUUUGAUCACGUUUGCUUUGAUUGUGUUUCAUUUGAGUCAUGCAUUGCACACCUAUUUGCAUAAAAAAAAAAAAAAAAAAGAUUUUUCAUUUAGUUUGCAUCAUUUGCACCAUUAGGAGAGUCUAGAGCAUAUAGGGUGCAUUCACUUGCAUUGGGAGCAAUGAUUUUAAAUGCCUUGUAAAGAACACUACGUUGCACCAUUGAGUAGCCAUGCACCUCUCGAAAAGACUUGUAUGUUUCGAGCCUUGAAAACUCUUCUUGAAACUUGUUGAUUGCUGAAACUCAGUCUUUGAAGCCAACUACAACCUUAUUAGAAAUGAAUGAACUUAAUGCUUCUUGCUUAGGGUCCCUUGUGUACUGAGUCAUGGCUAUACACACUGGAGUUGUCACAUCUUUUAUGCCAAUCUUUUUGACAAACUCUAGUGGUAGACCACUCCCAAAACCUUUCCUUCCUUUUAAGCUUUCAUUGUUUGAUGAGUGAGGCCUUCUUCGGAAAGUCUUACAUGCGCAUAAUGUUGAGAGUAUCGGGAACGACAAUGCUUGAUCUUCAUUUUUGCUAGAUUGGACACUCUUUUGUCUAGCUAUAGGUGGGAGGGUGAGUGUUGUGAUCAUGAUUUGGGAGAAAUGAAAAAUAAAAAGGAUAGACUCUUUGUGCUUAAGUGAAUUGAUUUUCUGGGAUAAGUAGAGAACCUCUAGCUCUAGUUUCGAAAAGUCUUGGCCCCCAACCUAAAAAAAAAAAAAAAAAAAAAAAAAAAAAAAAAAAAAAAAAAAAAAAAAAAAAAAAAAAAAAAAAAAAAAAAAAAGGGGGCUAGCAAAGUUGUUAGGAGCUAAGAAAUGUUUUGAGGUUGUAGAAAAAUCCCUUGUAGAUUUCAAAAAGAAAGAGUUAAAGUUCUUAGGAUCUAUUGGUGAGAGAUGUGAGUUGGGUUUGACAUUUGGGAAUGAUUGUGUAAUUGUAUGUUUGGGAAAAGGGUAGAACAAUGGAGAUUGAGCAUUGUAUGCAUGAGUUGGUCCCUUUCUUAGAUAUAUUAUGUGCAAUGUCAAGGCUACUUGUUUUGAGAGUAAACCACCUUAAAGAUCAUAUGUUUUGAACCUCUUGAAUCACUUGAAUAAAAGCCUUCCCUUACCCAACCAAAUGACUUGGACCAACGGACCAUUUGCAAGAAUUCAC
This 67909-nucleotide long non-coding RNA is filed under the name Brassica rapa (field mustard). RNAcentral's name for it is "long non-coding RNA (BRAP_LNC005704)". Lineage: Eukaryota; Viridiplantae; Streptophyta; Magnoliopsida; Brassicales; Brassicaceae. The record is from RNAcentral.